CUUUUUUUUUUAGUAGUUUUUGAAAGGGAAUCAAGGAUGGUAGUGAGCCAAACUUCCAUUUAAUGUUACUAACCCUUUCAAAGUACUUUAUUUCAGUUGCCUUCUACCUUAUUUCCUUGUAAAACUCACACAAACUAAUCAAGAUAUCUUAUAUCAAUAAAACAUGACAAAAUUGAGUGUUCUUAUGCAUGUAAUUUUGUGAAUUUAUAUGAUUUAACUAUGAUAAUAAUAAGAUUUUUUUUUUCCCUCUAAUUACAAUCCUAUUGGCUAGAACAUGAUUUUCCAACUGUCCAUCCUAAUCUAACUUCAUUACAUGAUAAAGGAAGAUAAAUAUCUUUAAGAUCAUGAAUGAUAUGGAUUAGAGAGAAUCAAGUAUUAAAUUUUGAUGUGAACUUUGUAAACAAGAAAGAUAGUCUCCAAAAAUGUCUUAACAAAGGACAAUUCUCUAACACAACUACUUAAUGGCAUUGAGUAUAUAUAUAUAUAUAAAAAUCAUUGAAUAUAUAGAAGAUUUUUGUAACACUAGACAUGAAUUUUUUUUUUUUUUAUAAAAUAUCAUUAUCAUGUCAAAUAAUAAACUAAUGAAGUCAUUCAAAUGAUGCAAAAAAAAAAAAAAAAAAAAAAAACACUAUCAUGGAUAUGAGAACUUUAGAUCGUUUCUUUCUUUAUAGCCAUGAAACACAACUAUCUUCACUUUUAUAGAUAAGAUUUGACAUUAGGGAGCUCCAUCAUUGACGCUACAAAGUUAGUUUCCACUACAUUAGGGUGUUGGAUAUACAAAAGUGCACAAUGUUUUAACAUGGUUUGACCUACCAUGCCUACAUUUAUAUAUGAGAGAAUUAUUUCACUACAAUAUAGAAAAUAUUAUAAAUGAUAAAACCAGAUACAAUUAUUAGAUUUUUGAAACUAGGAUGUUUACCUAUUCCAUGUAUCUAUACCUUGAACCAUGAGUCUUCUUACUCCACAAGUGUUUCCUAUUCUUCCCCACAUCUCUAUCCACCUUUUAUAGUCUUUAUAACUUAUUUCGAUCUCAUAGCGUUUUCCUCUCAAGAACUAAAAUAUUUUUAGGGAUAUUCCUAACAACUUUCUUUACUCUAUAAGAAAAUCUAAUAUUAUAAUAACAUCUGAAUAUGAUAAAUAUUCUACAAAAUAUUAUUUGCAAAAGAAAAUCUAUACUAAUUAAAAAUUUGAGAUACUUUCCAACAAUUUAUUGGUUUUCCAUUUGUGAUUUCAUGUUGUAUUUCUAUUUUAAAUUUUUUUAAAAUAAAAUAUAAGUUAUUUACUUUUUUAAAAAAAUUACAUCAUUAAAUUUAUUUAUUAAAUAUGCAAAUGUUUAAUAACUUAAAUUAAGUUAUUAAGUUAUAUUAAAUCAUUAAGUUGAUCUACCAAACAUUUUUUUUUAUAUUCUAAAAUCUCUUUUAUUCAAUUUGACUACAUUUAGGGGUUGUUUGUUUUUUCACCAUAAGUACCAAAGCAAGUUGAUUUUAGAUUUAAGAUAAACGUAAAACGACAACAACAACAAGAACAAUAAUAAUAAUAAUUUCUUCAUUAAGAUAAAAUUAUCUUAGAAAAAAUGAAAAGUUAAAAAAUAAAUAAUCUUAAAAAUAACUUAAGGUCUUAAAAUAAAGUGCUUUAAGACUUAAGUCCAAAAAAAAAGAAAUAGAACUUAAUAUUUAAUAUUACCUAUAAUUAGAUAAAUUUAUGUCUAUUUAGAUUUCUUUUUUUUUUUAAAUCUCACCUAUAUUACAACUUAAUAUAAAAACGAUUUAAUGUAAUAAAUUAAAAUAGAUAAAAAAAAUUUCUUCUAAAUCUUAAUUAUCAUUUGUCUUAUUUAUCAAUAUUUCUUUUCACCAUAUUUCUCUCUUAUAACCUCAUUACUUAAUAUUAACUAGGAUAAAUAUGUUAAUUUAAUACUACAGAAAAACUUUUCAAUACAUUUUUUAAACAAUCUUAACACUUAAAGUAAAAAUGAAAGGAUAAAUUUUAAGUCAAUAAUUUAAAUAUAAUUUAACUUAAAAUUAUCUUCAAUUGUUAUGUUAAGUUUUACUUGACAAUGAUAAAAGAAUAAUUAUAAAUAUAGAUUUAUUAAUUUAUUUAUUUUUAAAUAAAAUAUAAACACAAAAAGACUAUUUUAUUCUUAAGCCACAUGGUUCCUUUCCACAAUGUUAACGCUAGCCUCUUCCUUUUCAUUUUCCCUUUAUUUUUUUUCUUCUUCUUUUUCCACAAAUCUAAGUUAAUUUAUUUUAACUUAGAUAUUAAGAAAUAAUUUAAAAUUAAUUUUUUAUUAAUGUAAUUUUUUUAAAAAGGAAAAAUAUUAACCCCAUUCUCAUUUAAAUAGAACCUCACCACCUAUUCUAUAUCUUAAAAGAAAAAAAUGCAAUAAAAAAAUCUUGGCAACAUAGUGGAACAUAUUGGGUUGUAAUAGAAAAACGACUUAUCCAUCUUUCCAAUAUGACUUUUCUUUGUCUUUUUCAUAAAAAUAUCUAAAAAUUCCUAUAAAACUAUUAAUGGAAUUUAUUAAAAUAAAUUAUUUAAUGAAUGAUAAUUUAUAUGCAGUAAAUAUAAUAGAUGAAGUAAUAUUAACAAUAAGGUUAUUUAAAUAUAAAUAGGUAAGUAUAAUAAUAAAUUUAUUAUUAGCACAUCAAAGGUUGACCACAUCCAUUAACUUUCUUGUAUUUAAAUAUCGUAAACGCUUGGGUAAAUGAAUUAUAAGGUUAGGGUAUGCGUAUUUCUUAACAAUAAUUACUUUUAGGAAAGUUAUUAACACCCAAAGUCAUACAAAUUGUAUUAGAGCCGAGGUCACAGGUUCAAACACUAAGAAUGUAUGUGGUUAGGCAUUGGGAGGAAAUUAUUGGCAGAUCGAAGUUGAUCGAUGAUGCACUAUAAGAUCAAUCUCUUUUAAGAGAGUUGAUAACACCUAAAGUCCUACACUUAUUAAAUUAAAUAAUUAUCUGUCAAACUGUAGUAACAUUUUUCAGAAAUUUUAUCAGUGUUAUAAAAAGUUAGUUUUUAGUCAAAUCUUAACUCCACUUUUUAUCUAAAGAUAAAUUAAGAUUAAAUAGAAUUACUUUAAAUCAUAAUAAUAUGGAUAAAUUUAUAAAAAAUUUAUGAUAUUAGAUUAUUAUUUAUUAAGAUGUAUUGAUUUCGUCAAGUCUGGUGUUCUGGGCUUAUGUAAUUCUUUUUUUUAUUUUUAAAAAUAAGGAUAAAUUCUUUUUGUUUUUUAUAAAAAAAAAAUACAUACUUUAUUUACGAGACAACACGCGUCUUGAUACAAGAAUUCUUAUAUUUUUUAUAAGAGUUUUUACUUUAAAAAGUAAAAAGUAAAAAAUAAAAAAUACAUUCAAACAUAGCAUUGAAUGGGAAUAAUUUUGAUAACAACAUCUAACAUAAAUAAUUUGUAAAUAAGAGGAAGCCUUGAUGCAACGUCGUUGAAUGUGGUAAGUAGAAAUCAUAUUGGAAUUGGCAGAUGUAGUGUUUUGCAUUCAUCAUCAGCUUGAAAUAUGUAAAUUUUAUUCCCAAAUAAAUGAUAGCUAUUCAAUUUAAAAAUGAUUCAACUUGGAAGAGAGCACAUGAAGACGAGUCAAGUCAAGCGGGGCGUCCUGCGGCUCAAGAAGGCUACAAUUUGUGCUUUAUGUGGUCCUCCCACUGACCAUGACCACCACAUCUAAAUUUUGAACUUUUUAAUUAUUUUAUUUUAUUUUAAUAUUCCCAAUGAUCCAUGGAUAAUUUUGGGUUCAAGCCGGCUAGAUUUUCAGUUGCCUGCAACUUGUCCACGUGUAUGUUGGUUCUAUCAGGCGCAACCUUUUGAAUGCCAUUGCUAAGAACAUUUGAUUCUCUUCAUUUAAUUCAUGAUAAAUAAUAUAUAUAUAUAUAUAUACUAUUCACUUUAUUAUUACAUUUUGUAAUUUAUGCUCCGAGUAGAUGAUUCGACAAGUAAUUUUACCCUAACAUGUUUUUCACAUAUUUGAAUUGAGUAGUGAUGUGUAUAACUCGUUUUAUAAAUAUAUAAUUUUUUUAUUAAUAUAUAUAAUAAAAAUAUGAUCUGAAUAGUCUAGUUUAUUAAUUGAAUUGAUUAAUCUAAUUAUAAUUUUAAAUUAUUUAAUUUAAAUAGACUUAUUUUAAAUGAUUUUUUAAAUAAAUAGGUCAAUUAAAUUAUAAACAUUUGUAAUUAAGAGGUUAAUAAUUGAUAUACAAUCUAACUUAAUCUUAUUGAUUAUCAAUAAAAAAAAAUUAAAUUAAUUAAAUAGAAUAAAUGUAUUGUACGAUUCGUUAAGUGUUUGGGUUUAUGGUACCAUGAAUAAUUAAAUUUUAUAAUAUAUUAUUUAACUAAUAAUAUUUAAAUUUUAAUUAAUACUCAAAUAUUUUAGAUAAAUUAACUUUUUAUCUUUUAAAAAUCAACUAUUUAUCUUUUACCAAACCAAAUUGUUGUAUUAGAUGGAUGGCUUAUUUUUGCACAUAAUUCUAUUGGUAUUUAAUAAUUUAAGAUGAGGAAGAAUGUGAAUCUAAUCCCUUUUCAAAUUGGGUAUUACAUAAUUUAAUUAAAUAAUCCUAUUCAUAUGAUUAUUUAUAUUAUAUUUAAUAAUUUAUAUUAUAUUAUUUAACUAAUUUUUAAUUUUUAAUUAAUGUGAGAGAUUAAUUUCUCAUUUAUUAAAAUUAAACAAAUUAUUGUAUUAAAUUAAUGGAUAGACUAUCCUCGAGAUUAACAUAUGAUUUAUUUAUAAGCAAAUUUUCUUAAGAGCCUAAUAUAUAUAUAUAUAUAUUAAUUUUCUUUACUUGGUAUAAUAAUCUAAUCCAUCUAUUUCGGGUUGUGACUCAAUUAACGCAUAUGUCUGUCCAACUUUAAUCCAAUUUAUACAUUUUUCUCAAUCAUAAGGCCAACCCAAUUAUCACCCAAGUUUCAGGAAAAUGGUUUUGGUUCAAUUCAAAUUGUCAAAUUUGGAUUAUUGAAUUUGGAUUGAGUUUUUAUACCAUUUUGCUUUAAAAAAAUGGUUUUGGUUGAACUCAAAUUGAAUUGUUGAAUUUGGACUGAAUUUAUAUAUAUAUAUAUUCAUAAGAGUGAAAAAAAAUAUUAUUAAAUUAAAAUUAUUUAUAAAUCAUAUAAUUUGAAAUUAGAAAAAUGCAUGUGAUCAAAAGUCAUAACUGCCAGAGGUUCCGAAGGGACGUUCAAUGAAUCGGGACUGACAGAAACAGUUGAAAAGCCCCUAUGCAGAAUCAUGGAAGUAGAGAAAAAUGUAAUGGGUUUGAAGAUGAACAACAAGACAUGGCCAAAAUGUCACGUGCGCUUGCUUAAUUUCUUCUUUCAACAAAUGCUAUAAUAAUAUAUUAUAUAUGCUUAAGAUUUUCUUCGGUUAUCUUCUUGGAUUACUAUUUUGUCCUUUUUCUCCUAUAUAUUUACUAAUUUAUAUUUGACCUUUUUAUUUAUUAAUUCAUUUUCCAUGGUGGCCAAUGGGAUGAUCCCACAUCCAUGUCGUCAUUCAUGCAUCUCUCCCUCCUUCAACCUUGACAAGCCAUCAAAUUUAAUAUACUUAAAAAGUCAAUUUGAUUUUAAACUUAAAUUAUAUACUUGUGUGUUUGAAUAUAUUUUCUAGAGUAGAAAAUUUUGUCAGUUUUAAAAUUCUAAAAAUUUAAGAGAGAAAAACUUUUCUCUUGUACAAUUUUUUUUCUUUUAAUUUUAAAAAGUGGCUUCAAGAUAAUGAGUUACUUUUUAUGUAAAAAUGCUUAAAUUAUAGAAAAUAUAUUUAAAUGCUGGUUAUCGAUUCAAGAUUUAUUAUUAUUAAAUCGAUCCUUAUUUAAUUAUUAAGGUUAUUUAAUAUAAUCAUUAUAAAAAAUAUUUAAAUAAUUAAAUUGUCGUAUUUGUUGUUGUAAUGACUUGUACUCAACUGUAUAGAUAUUAUCCGUUUUAAAUUCAAAUAAGACCUCACAUUAAGAUCGAAUAUCAACUUUAAUAUCAUUUAUAAUGACCUUCAUCAAAUCGUGUAUAUAUUAUUCACUAAAAACCCUCAAAGUUUUAAAAUAUGUUCACAACCAUAAGGUUAAAAUAAGUCUAUACAUAGUCAUUCAGUUAGAUAAUCUAAAUUUAUACGUUAUGUUUAAGAAAUAAUGCAUAUAUAAUCAAUUAAAAUUUUAAAGUUUUAAAACGUGUCCACAAUCAUGAGAUUAAGAAAAGUCUAUGUAUAUAUAUAUAUAGAGUUAUUCGAUUAGCUAAUCUAAAUUUAUAAGUCAUGUUUAAGAAAUAAGAUAAUUAUAAAACAAGUCGAAUCAAAUAUAUUUUAUACACCAUACGAAACCAAAAAGACUAAAAGAAAGUGAAGUAAAAUAAAUAGUUAUGAAAGCUAAAUGGGAUACGUAACGCCAGUCAAAUGAGGGAAAGUGUUUUUGUUGUUUUGGGAAACAUAUUAAAUAGAUUUGAGAUGAGGGGAGGGACAGACGUACAACUUGGAUUUGCAUGAAGCAUUGAAGCUUUAUAUAUACAAGGAAAAGAAAGUAGAAAAAAUAGAUGUUGUAAAGUCAAGUCUUGAAAUAUAAAAUAAAUUAAAUGAUUAUUUCAGCAAGAAGCAACUUCGGUGUUGGUCAAGCCAUUAAUUUAUUGGAGAUUUGACCAGCUUUUUAUGUUUGAAAUCUGUAGAAAGGUAUUCCAGUUGUACCUCAGAGCUGGUAGGACUUCUCUUUCUAAGCCAAUCGGAUUCGAAAAAUAUAUAUAUACAGACAUAAAAAUCUAAAUAUUUUGAUUUUUUCAACUCAACCAAAAAAUAAACAACGACUUUAGUCACACCUUAAAAAAAUUAAUAAAUAUAUCAAAGUAGAAAAAAAAUAUAAAAAAAUAUUUAAAAUCAAUAAAUUAUUUUUAUAUAAUAUUUUAAACAUAUUAAAUUUAUUUUAAUUAUAUUUAAUUUUUUAAAUGCCUUUCAUAAUAUAACUAAAUAUGAUAAGAUUGUUUUUUAUUUUUUUAUUUUUUUACUAUUUUUGAAUAACCACACAUGAUCAAUAGUUACAGAUUUCUAACUCUUAAAUGAAUCUUAAAAUAUCCUCAAUUAGGAUCGUAAUUGAACUUAUAAUAUUAAAAAAAAAAAACCCUAAAUUGAUAAAAGAAUCUAAAUAAUUUUUUUCCAUUUUUAAAAAACUUAUGGCUCAAUUUUAAUAUAAAAAAAUCAAAUUAUUAAUUUGAUCUUCAUAUUAAAAGAAAAAAAUUAUCCACCCCCUUUCAAAAAAAAAUUCUAUAAAAUAGGCUUUAUACGGACUUGCGUUUAACUUUCAAACAAUGACAUGUUAGAUAUUUUUAUUCUCCCCAUCAACUUGUAAGUUAAUGUCAUAUGUUGAGGUCAUUAAGCUACCUAAACGUAAAAAUAGAGACUUUUUGCUUCAAGGUUUUUUAAAAUAUGCAAGUCUAAAUCUUUGUUCAAAACCGCUGAAUUCAACGGGACCAAAUUCAACCAACACCAAAUUGAUUGUAAUCGAAUCAAAUUUAAUUUACUUAACUUGAUUCUCAAGUUGUAUCAAAUGAGAUCUACUCCUAAAUUAAAAUUACACGUAAUCUCUUAAAAGCAUAUAAUUAUUCCAUGCUAAACUAUAAGGUUUCAUCCUUGAUAGAAAUUCAUUCGAAUCCAUUUUUUUUCUUCCACGUGUAGCUCUAAGAUGGUAUUGUAGUCUAAAUUCUAACAAAAAGAGACAGAUGGCUAUUAAAAGUUGUUUUCAAGGGCCAGUGCUGCUUCGGAAAAUCAGAAAGGAAAAAUUUGUCCGAAGAAGAGAAAACAGACGAGAUUUACCUACCCAAAGUUUGGAAUUGGUUGAUGUAUAAUGAAAGUUGGGACUUUUUCUAUUCAAAGCGUUGGACUUUGUUCUAUAUGAUAUAAGCAUAUUCAAAGGGACUGCAGAUAUGUUGAUCAAUAGUCUCCAACGCCAGCCAUACUAGGUCUAUAACGUUUCAAAGUUAGCAGCUGAACCACGUUCCUUCCACGGUAUCUUCAUCGACAAAACCCUUGAAACCAUUGUCGUCUUUGUUUCAUUUUUUCUCAGUACGAGGCACAUACGUGGCGGAAUGAUGUCCACCUCUGCAAGAAUCAAGCUCAUGCAUUACUCUAGCUUCAUUGAAACAAAGGCCAACUCCCUUGUACCAGAAGAAAAUGCCCGAUUUGAUGCUGAAACUCAUGUCGCUUUUCACCUAAUUCAUGACAUAAGGGAUUGAAAAUCUGGAUUAUGAAAAUUAUGUCCACCAGCCCCUUUGUUCCACAGUUAAUUGUAAAUUAUAUUUCGAUCAUGGCCCGACUGGUUUUUCUUGUACUUGCGUUCAUUCCCUGUUGACGGGAUGAAUAUUUUAGCUACUUUUAGCUUAGACUAAUGCUGAAAACCAUCAUUAGGGGAUUCAGGUAUCAAUCAACUAGGGUUUUUAUUUGAGAGGGAUGGAGAUGCUAAUAUGGAAAUGGAUUCACAUAUCGUGAUUGAAAGCUCUGACAAAUUUUGCACACCCAUUUACAAACGUUGGUAGAAAUUGACUUCAUCAGCCCUAUGAGUAAUGAUCAUAUUUUUUUAUUUUUUUUUCUUGUCAUGUGACGUAGGCUUUGGAAAAAUCCAAGAUGAACCUUCACUGAUUAAGUUUUAAUUGAGCACCCACAUUGUGAAAAAUGAUUUGGGUUAGGGGCUUCACCAAUCAUAGAGCUUAUACAAGUGGAAAAUGGAAAUUCAAUGAGGCGGCCACACAGCAAUAUUCAUAAAUAUAAAUAUGAAGCUGAUUAAUUAAUUAACGUUAAUGAGAUGGACAGACCAAAGUCCAGAUGGGGUUGACGGGUAUAAAUUUUAUAUGUCUAGGGAAAAAUAAUUAUUUAAGAUAAGGCAGGCAUAAAAGCAAUAAUAAUAUUUGGCCUACUGACGUGCACUAGCCUCUUUCUUUGACCCCUUCACACCAUCGAUGCUAAAUUCCAAGCAGCCCAAAUACUUCAACAAAUGUGAACUGCACGUGUACACUCUCACACUCGUGUCCAUUUUGUGAAUAUGGUAUUAGGUGUUGUGUUAGGGUCUAAUUUUGGGUCGAGUUAAGAGAACACUUAUUCAUCAUACUUUAGCUGGAUAUGGAAAGUUUUUGAAUAUGCAAUGAAGAAAAGGAAAGAAAUUUAUUUCAAAUUUCAUCCAUUAGUAUUUUUAUAAAUUUAUUUUUUUAAAGAGAUUUAAAUGAAAAUAUUUUAAGUAGAAGUGUUUAAAAAUCCUCUAAUAAUUAAAUUUUAUUCUUUAAAAAUUAAAAUUUAUAUAUAUAAAAUAUAUUUAUCGGAUGUAACCGGUAAAAUUUGAAAUAUGUGACGAUUUUAUAUAUUUACAUUAGGGUGGUGUUUAUUUUUUGAUUGAAUAGAAAAAAUCAAAAUAUUUGAUUUUUCUAAUUUAACUAAAAAUAACUUGUUCACAUCGUUCAAUAUAACUAAACUGAAUUUAUUAUUAAUAGAUUCAAUUUAGUUAUAUUGAAGAAUAUAAACGGAUUACUUUUAACUGAAUAUAAAAAAUUAAGUAUUUUAAUUUUUCAUAUUCAAUAAAAAAACAAACAUCACUUAAGAUUCAUAUUAUCAAUGAAAAACUCAAAAUUAAAAUAUUUCUGCAUAUAUUCUAAGGCACCGCCUUAAGAUGAGCCUGUUAUUCUAUUAAAGAGAUAAUAACGAAUUUGAAAAGGCAGAAAAGGAAAAUACCAAGAAGGAUUUGGGGAUAUUGAACGUCACAUUCAUAGGGAUCACCUUGCAGAAGAAAACAAAAACAAGAUGAAAUUCAUUCCGGGUAAGUUAUUAUAUAGCAAGUUGGUGCGUUAAUUUGCCAAAGUUGGUCACAAGUUUCAUUAAAAUAAUAAUAAUAAUAAUAGGAAAGAAAGAAGGAAAAGAAAAAUUCUUGAACUCAAAUGUAAAAUAUCUGAACAUGCCCCAAUUAAUGGCCAUGCUAGUUCAAGGAAAAGAAAAACCCCACGUUUUAUUUGACCAAUAAACAAACACUCGUGUCAUCCAGUGAGGCGGUUCCUAGCAAUUGUGGGCUAAAAAGGAUAUGCCUUUUUAUUUUCUUUUUUUUCUAAAUUCUAUCAACAGUUGUUUGUACUAUCUGCAAAUUGCAGCAGCUGGACUCCUCAUUAUAAAUACCCGCUCAUGGGCUUCAAAUCGGUUUGAGCUUGGGACAUCAAGAGAGAACACAGAGAUAAACAAGGGUGUCUCAGUCUCAAAUCCUUACGUAGAAAAGAAAAAAUGGGGAGAGCUCCAUGUUGUGAGAAGAUGGGGUUGAAGAAAGGUCCAUGGACUCCCGAAGAAGAUCAGAUUUUGGUCAAUUACAUCCACCUUUAUGGCCAUGGAAACUGGAGGGCACUUCCCAAACAAGCUGGUAAGUACUCCAUCCAAUCCAAACUCAGUAGAAAGAAAGAAAGAAAGAAAGAGAGAGAGAGAGAGAGAGAGAGAAAGAGAGAAAAGCCUUGAACAUCCAGGAAGAAGAAAUUUAGAGGAAGGGCAUGUGUGUAGUAUGUAUAUUAGUAUGAUCAAAGGAAUGGCAACAAUGCUUUUCCAAUUUCAUUUUUCUGGGUUUUCUAGAUUCCACUGCCUACUGCUUUAUAUAUGUAUUUAACACAUGGUAUAUGUGAAUCUAAAUUGCAUUUUUCACUUUGGUUUUUCAGGCUUAUUGAGGUGUGGAAAGAGUUGCAGACUUCGAUGGACGAAUUAUCUGAGGCCGGAUAUCAAACGGGGAAACUUCACCAGUGAAGAAGAAGAAACCAUCAUCGAGUUACAUGAAAGGCUGGGCAAUAGGUGUGUAUUUGGCCUGAUUUUUUUGUUUCCCAGAAGAUACUGUUGUCUUAGCAUUUUGGAAGCACUUCUCUUGCUUUCAGUUUUUGUUUUCAAAAACACUAUCCAAACUCCAAAGUGUUUUCACUUGAUCAGUUAAUUUUGUAAAAGAAACAUGUGGGACUGAAAAGAUUCCCUACUGAAACACAGACAUGUGAGAGUGCAGUAACAAGUUUUUCUUUAUAUGGAAUUAAAAAUAUGAAAGAGGCUGAUUAAUAAAGACAUUAGCUAGCAAAUGCAGACACUUGACAUGAAUUUAUUUUCUCAAACUCUGCAGAUGGUCAGCGAUAGCAGCGAAACUACCGGGGAGGACAGACAAUGAGAUAAAAAAUGUGUGGCACACCCACUUGAAGAAGAGGCUCAAGCACAACCACGCCACGCCACCCCCUAAAAGACACUCUCUUGAUGCGUCCCACGUCGAAAAACAACAAAACCCCAUUAGUUCUGCAACCAAUUCGAGAUCGGAGAGCCUUGGGUAUGGACCAGUACUGUCCCCACAGCAGUCCUUUAGCGAUAUCUCCUCAGCCGCCACCACCACGACCACCGCCACCAUGUCCGACAUUACUACACCCUGCAUUAAGGUCGAUUCACUGGAGGAGUUCCCAGAAAUGGACGAGAAUUUCUGGUCGGAAGUACUGUCAUCCAACAAAUCCGGCGCGGCGGGUGAUUUGCCAGGGGCGGCCAGUGGUCCACAGCUUCAGUUUCCAUUCUCUCCGCGUGCUGUCAUUGGCAGUAGUCCAUAUAGCACGUAUGACAUGGACAUGGAAUUUUGGUACAAUAUUUUCACAAGGUCCGGGGAGUUGCAUGAAUUAUCAGAAAUAUGAGGGAAGGGGCUUGUAAUUUUCAAGUUGUCCGAUGUGGGAAAUGGGAAAUGGGAAACGGGAAAAUGAAAUUCUUUGGGUGGCCUCUUUUGACUGUUGAAAGAUUGGACAACAAUUAUCGGUGGGACAGGAGCUGUCAUACCGGUUAGAAUUAUUCAUGUAUCGAACAGACUCAGCCAAAUGAUUGUCGGCAAGCAAUAAUUUUCUUCGAUAAAAUAAAGGGGGAAUGAAAAAUGUGUACAUUUUAAUGAUGUUGAUUGAGAAUGACUUGCAGGAUAUAGUGGUUUUUUGGCCCUUUGGAAAGUACUUGGAAAUGCAUCAGAGGCAAAGUGGUGUGUGCGUGUUGCACUUUCACUCUGCAAAUGAUUCUAAAUCAUGUGAAUCAUGCCCUUAUCUUAAUUACAACCCGUUAAAUUUAUAAUUAAUAUUUUUUUUUUAAAAAUGUGAUACAAUUUUUGUUGAUUGAUGUGUAGUGUUGGCAUUAAAUAUAUAUAACUACUUUAUUUGAUGAAUUUUUGGAAAAAAAUAUAUAUAUAAUUUUUUAAAAUUUAUAAUAUGUUUUUAUAAUAAAUUUUCAAAUUUUGUUAGUUAUUUUUAUAUUUGAAUUUUUAAUUAAAAUUUGAGAAUUAUUUAAAAAAAAAUCCAAAAAAGCCCCUAAAUAACUAUUUUCUUUUCUUUAGCUUUAUCUUGAUUUAUGGCCUUUAAAUUCAAAAUUCCAUAGGUAAUGGUACGAGGAUAUGUUGAUAAGACUAUUAUAGUGAUGUGAUGAACCGUGAUGUGAUGAACCUAAGAAUAUUUCACAAGAUGUUUAAUUAUUUUUCAUAUAUAUGUAUUACAUUGUUAUUCCUAUAAAACUCCACUUUUUAAUGAUCCCACACUCAUUUUCUUUUUAAUCAAAAUCCUAAAAUAAGACUUGAGGUGGAAAAUGCAUGGGAGGUGUUCAAUAUACCUUGAGAAUUGUUAAUCAAAUUAUACACAUAGGAGAAUGAACAAAAAAUAAAAAAAUAAAAUAAAAUUUUUAGCGUAGUUUGACGAUCAAUGUAAUCCUUAUAUCCACAUGAUAUAUUAACACUCAACAAUCUACUAAUUAAAAGGAACAAAAAGAGUUAUAAUGGUUACCUCUUAAUUACAAUCGUGUUUUCUAAAAAACAAAAUCUUAAAACAUAAAAAGGUUAAAUAUAUAAUAAGGACAAACUCGUUAUUCAUUUCAUAAAAUAAAAAAAUAAAAAAAUUCUCCAAUGGAUGUUUGCCCCUUCAAUCCUUGCACGCUAACUAGGUAGCUCAAUCCUUGCAAGUUCAGUAGGGAGCUCAAUCCCCAUGAGUUGAUUGGCCAACUCGACUUCCAACAUUUCAAACGAAACAUAAUAAAAUUGAUUUAGGUUUUACAAUCCAACAAGAAUAAGGUGGUGUUUGUUUUUUUACUUAAUUUUAAAUAGAACCUUAAUACUUAAUAGUAUUAAAUAUUAGAUUGUUUGUUUUUGUAGUAUUUUAUUUCUAUUAAGUAUUAAAAAGUAAAAAAAACCAUUGUGUUAUUUUUUCUAUUUAGAAAAAGUCACAUAUUUUGGCUUUUUCUAUUUAGUAAAAAGUUUAUAAUAAGUCAUGAAAAAGUAAAAAAACAAACAACCUAAAUUCUAAAACUAAAUGGUUUUCAGCAAAAAGCCAAAAAAACAAACACCACCUAAGUCUUGUCAAAGAUUACUUUAAAAUAGUUUUGAGCCUUUACAUGUUAACUUUCAUGACACUUAGAGAGUGUAUGAUUAAACUUUAAACUUAAGGUGUAAUAAUUUUAAGUAAUUUUAAGUUAAAUUAUAGUUAAGUUAUUAAGUCAUUAAAUUGUUUUAGUAAAAUCACUUUUAACCCUUUUUUGUGAUGGUGGAAAAGUUGAUAUAUAAGUUAUCACUAUAGCCAUUCUAUAGAACCAUAUAUGAAAUUUUUCACCUUUUCCAACUUAUUGUUCAAUUUUUUCAAAGUCACUAGAUUAUUUUCCUUGUUCAAGAAUCUCAUCUUUCUUUCUCUUAGUCUCAAAGAGUAAUUAAGAUUAAAACUAUGUUUUCAUAUUCUCAUUGAACACUUUCCAUUUUUUAUUAGUCUCAAAUUAUAAAAGUUUCACCUUUUGCAACUCAUUGUUCAAUUUUUUCAAAGUCAUUGGAUACUUUUUGUUGUUCAAGAAUCUCAUUUUUCUUUCUCUUAGUCUCAAAGAGUAAUUAAAAUUAAAACUAUGUUUUUAUGUUCUCAUUGAACACUUUCCAUUUUUUACUAGUCUCAAAUUAUGGAAGAUCAUUCUUUUUAUCAUCAAUAUGCAGAUGAAAUCAUAAUUUUAUAAUAAAAACAAAAAGAUCUUUCUUUAUCAAUCUUCUUAGAUCUCGUGAUUUGAAUCUAUGAUUUUAACUCUGAUAUCAAUUCCUAAAACAGGUUUUGCCCAUCUCAUCUAAAAACCAAUUGAUAAUCAGUGAGGAUAAAUUAAACAUUUUAUGACAUUCAACAUUACACUUCGUGGAUCCAUUUUAAGAACUAUCAUUUAGGUGACCCAUUCAAGACUUAAAAGUAGUAUUGUUGCACUCCAACAAAUCAUUUUACUCUUAUUCUCCCAAAAUAAAAAAUUAAUAAAAAAAAUAUUUUCAAAUUUGAAAUUGUAAUAUUAAAUUACUUUACCAAACAAACUAAAAAAUAUUUAACAAUUUAAAUUAAGUUAUUAAAUCAAUAAAUUAAUUUAUCAAUUUAUCAAACAUGCUCUUAAACAAGUUAAUGUAACAAGUUAAAUUCUUUUUUUUAGCAUAAAAAAAAAAAAGAAAAAGAAAGAAAAACUUGCUACCAAUGCCCUCAAGUGUUCUCAAGUCUCAAACCUUUAUCUAUGCUAGCCAAUAGGAAAAAUCUAAAGCAACAAUUCCUACCAAAAAUAAGCUAAUACUUUUCCUAAAAUUUUUCCAUAUCAAUUUUUAAAGUUCCCAUAUUUACAAAAUCCUCAUUUAAAUCCAACUCCAUUGCCUUUUUGUCUGACUCUCUUCUCACCUCUCCUUUUUAACUCUUCCCUCUUCUUCAACUCAAAUAUCUUCCUUUCACGGGAGACGUGACAAAAAGGAGAAAAAAUAAAAAUAAAAAAAAGUGAUGGAAUGAACCCGUGAUCUUUUAACCUCUUAAUUUUUAAUUUUCCUCACAUCCCAUGUGAUAACCAAUUAAACCUAGUCCACUUCAAGCCCUGCUAGUAAAAAGGACAAACAAUUUAGAAGUUAGAAGUAGGGUUAGCUCCUACUCAAGAUUGAGAGGUCGACAGCAUGCAGCCAUCACAAUAUACAUAAUAUAAUAAGGCGACUAGUGAUGAAAUGAAAAACACGGGCGCAGCUUUAUUACUAGCUUUCCCACCAUGACAAGAAAGUGAAAGAAAAUGGAUUUCAUCUGAAUUUUAUAUCAAAGAAGAUCAUCAAAAUCCCAGUAUUCAAUUCCAGUUUGAUGGGCUCCACUAAGAUCUCCUUUAGCAAACAGUGGAUUUCUCAGGAGAUUUGGAGUUAUCAACCACUAUAAAAAUAAGCCAUGAUAUUGUCAUUUGUAAUGCAUUCUCAUAAAGGGAAAAGCUUGAUUAUCUUGACAGAAUCGUUUUUCUUUUCCAUUCUACAUUCCACAUAAUGAAGAGAGAGGGGAGUCGGCAAAAUAUAUAUAUACAUAUAAGUGUUUGUCUGCAUUCUUUUAACCCUAUGAUGAGAGCUCAGAAGUAGUGUUUUCUCUGUGCAUGCGUCAACAAAGAGGCUGUAAAUGUAAAUAAAGAAUUGGUAUCCAGGCUUUGCUUCCGGUUAAUGGGUUAUGGGUUAUGGGUUGCUUUUUUCUCUUCAAUGGAAGUUGAUGAUUACUUUUUCUCAUUUUAAUGAUGAAAAUAUUGAGGAAAUAAAUAAAUGAUUGGUGUAGUUUAAGGAAGAAAAAAAAAACUUGAUACUGUGUACACAUGUUUAUUGUUGUUGUUGUUAACUUUUAACUUUAAUUUGAUUUUCAAAGGAAUUAAAAAUACAGGAAAAAACUUAUGAUAACAUGCUUAGAGCCCGUAGUCAAAGCAUUUUUGUUGGAAGUUUUUUUUUUUUCUACAAUGUUUUUGUAAAAUACAUUUUUAUGAGAAAUUGAAAAAAUAAUUAUAAUAGUAUUUUUAAUAAUUUGUCUUAUAAGUAUUAAAAUGCUUUUGAUAUUAAUAAAUUACCAAAAAAGAUAUAUAAUUUAAUUAUAAAAAAUCGGGAGUUUUACAUUAUAAAAGAAUAUAUGUAUAAAUAUUUAUACGAUUAAAAAGCUAAAAAUAAUCAUUUUUUAUGAUUACAAGAAAAUUUUUUAAAAUGGAUUAAUAAAUAAACAUCAAUUAUUGUAUAACAAUUUUUUAUCAUGGAAUAAUGGGUGGCGGCUAACCAAUAUUUAAAAGACUUCUUAAAUUGUGUUUAUCUAAAAUUGAAAGAUUUGAAAAAAAAAAUGUUUACAUAACUUCAAAAUUUUGUUUUUACCCAUGAUUAAAGAAUUCCUAAGGUUCCACGUUGAGGAUGGGUGAUGAUAUGAUGUUGGAUACAUGUUGGGUUAUUGACUUGUAUUAAUAAUAUAUGGUUAGCUAUCUUUUGACAUGCAUAUUUCCGGAAUACUCGAACCCCUGUACCCCUGAUCUAGGGCAUGGAAAAAGAUAUCAUAACCACUUGGACUAAUUUUCAAUAUAUAUAUAUACACACAAAAUAUUAAAAUAAAGCUUUAAUAAAUAAUUUAAUUUUAAUUAUCUUAUAUUUAAAUUCAAUUUAACUAAGUAGUAAAAAUAUAAAAAUUAUUACCAUAAUUUUUUUAAUGAAUUUUUCAAUAUCCUUUUAUCUUAAUUAAAUAUAAUAGAAAUACAAAUUUAAAAAUAAAAUUAUAAACAUUUUAGUAUAUAUAUCAAUAUAAAAUGUAUUUUCAAGUUCUAUAUAUUAUUAAUUUAUUAUCAAAUAUCACAAAAGAUAUUAUACAUAUAUAUUUAAAAAUGAUUAUUUGAAUAUGCACAUAAUAUUUUUUUUCUUAAAAAAAUUCUUCUAUUGUUAUUUUCUUUCAAAAUUCAAUAAUUUUUAAUAUAUUUUGAUAUAUUUUUAAAAUCAAAUUAUCGUUAUAUUCGAAGAUAUCGAAAAGACAUGCACAUCUUAAUAAUUCAAAUUUUAUAAAUAAAAUUUGUAGAAAAUGAUGAUACAUGCAUCCAUCAUAUCAUAUCGUGGCUUUGUGGUUUGAGUGAUUAGAAUCAAAGGCCAAUGUGAAAACCCCAAGCAGCCGGUGCCAUCAUAGCCAUGGAAUGUGGUUGUCAAAUUGCAUACCCUCUGACAGCAAUCAUUUUGGGCUGAGGAAAAAUGUUGAAAAUGUUUUAGAGUUGUGAUUUGUGAAGGAGGAGUGGGUGUUGAACUAAAUGCCACGGGGCUUUGACGAAACACCUAACCAUUACUCUUUUCAGUGGGAAAAGAAUUUCCUCUGCAUUUGAUUCAUACACAGCGUAAUUUGGAAGGGGUUGAAGCAGUGGAAGGUCAACGCCUUCAUGAUGAACCUGAAUGCUGCUAGUCUUGCUUUUUUUCUUCAUGGGGACAGCCAGAUUGGACCUUUUUCCUAGGGAAGUUGAAAGUUUAACCAAACUAUAAUUACUCUCGAGAAGAAGAAAAUGUUUGGGUUUUUUAAAUUCUGAGGCAAAGAAAAUAAAGAAAAAAAAAAGGUUUUAAAUUUAAUAAGUUAUUUUUAUAUAUUUUUUUAUUUAUUUUAUUAUUAUAUAGAGAUUAAAUAUUUAAAAAUAUAUAAAUUUUUUUAUCAUUUUUAUUUGUUUUUUUUAGCAUUUUUUUUAAAAACAUAUUUUUUAGGAAUCAAAGCCAAAAAUUGUGGUGUGGUGCUUCUUUUUCUUUUGAGAUGGUCUGAGGAGGAAACGUUCAAAGUUCUUGGAUUCAAAUGUUUUGACAAAAGUGUUGUUCUGUGAUAAAAUGGUAUACUUUUGGAAAUGCUUUUCAGUAGUCUGUCCAUGUGUGGUUGAAGUGGAAAAUUUGCUAGAAUUGGUCAGAAAACUAGCAUCACUGUUUUCCUAAAUGGUCACGAGGCAAAGUCAAAAAGAAUGCUCCACUACUCGUGAUAAGGUAAAACACGAGUUCAGACCCAUCUUAGUCUAGUGGAUUCGGAAGUUUCUACGACCCAUUUACAUUUGAUUAGUGGUUUUUAGAACCAUUAGGACGAUAAUGAACAUCAUGGGAAUCCAAUUUGUGUUAAGAUCAUGGUCCUUUGGGCCCGCCCACCCAUGGUUACCAAAAUCACGGGGUGACUACCUCGUCAGGCAUAGCCAUAGCCAGCCCAAGUAAUCCAGAGACUACCCGUGAUUGAAAUCGAAUGUAUUGACAUAAAUGUUGUGUUUUGCCAGACUUGAAUGCAAAUGACUUUAGUUCUUCCAUUUAUUGCAAAUGCAAAGCCCCAUAGAAUGUUACCAUGAAAUCGAUAUUAGAGUCGAUUCAUUACCUAAUAGCCAAGUUUUUUGGUCGGAUUGGUAGCUUAAUAACUUCUUACAAGAAUAACUUCCCAGUGAAUUCAUCAUCCUAUUGGACACAAUCAGCAAAAUGAAUUCAUAUCGUGAGAAAAGAAACAGCCCCCUUGGAAGGUGGUUUUGAGUUGAAUAUAUCAUGUUUUCGGAUUUGAAAAUAUGAAACGAAAAUGACCCAAUUCUCCAAUGUACUUUUUUUACCCGUAGAUUUUGAGUUUUCUACUAAUGCUUUUUGAGUCUCUAGGCGGCAUGCUCUCAGAGAAGUGAACCAUAGGUUCACAAAGAUUAAUGCUUAAACACGUCUUUCAUGCUUCAUGUCUAUCUAUACAUGGAGCUUCAUAGAAACCCAGCAUCUCCUCCAUAGCUGCUGCUUUUUAGACAAGGCAGAAGGUAUGAACCAUUGAAAACAUUAAGCACAGUGUUAUUAUUCCAUACCAGAUGCAAUGAGAAAUAAGAGGAUGAGUAGGACAAAUCCCUUUGAUCUCUAUAAAAACUACUUUCGAUGUAAUUGCCACCAUAUCAGAGGAAGAAGAAUCAUAUAUGAAAACCACUUUUCUGAUCUGAUGUAACCAUUAGAAAAACAUGUAAAUAGAAGUUUGUUUUCCUGGUUUGGAGAGGACAAUAUCGUGUUUCUACCGCUAUGCAUUCAUUAGUUCUCCACAAGGAAUAUGGUUACAAUAUUCAUUUAAGUUAUAUUUAGUUCCUUAAAAAUAUUAAAAAAAAUUGUUUUAAUCAUAUUUGAUUUCACCAUAAAAAAUAAAUAUAUAUAAAAUUAAUUAAAAUUUUAUAUAUUUUAAAAUUAUUUCAUCUUUAUGAAAAAUAAAUUUAAAAGAACAUAUAAAAAUAAUUUAUUGAUUUUAAAUCUAUUUUUUUUAUUUUUCUUUAUUUUUUCUUUUCUUUACUUUUACGGUCUAUUUUCUUUCCUUCGAAUUCAUCAAAGUUUCCAGCCUUAGUAUUAUUUUUUUUUUUUUUUUUUUUUUGAUGAAAACAUAAUAUGCAUAUUUAUAGGAAACCUCAGAACUAAAACGAUUGACAUUUAUCAAUGGCAUUCAAAUACAUCACAAACAGAUUAACAGGUCUGCAAUAGGAAGAUAUCAAAAUCACCAUGAUAAAUGAGAAAGAUGCAAAAACAUGGGAGGAAUGGCUUCUUCCGGAUCAUGAUUUUUCUAGAAUUUAAGGUUUUUCUUCCUUAUUCAAAACUGCAUAAAUGCCUCUUCAAUCCUCAUCAGAUUAGUUAUAAGGCUUAAAUUACCAAGGCAAUGGAGAAAAAGGGAGAAGGCAUUCAAGAAAGGCACGAAUAUGCCAGCUCCUUUUCCUCACUAAGCUCCUGUGCGGUCAAGUCCAACUUCUUCCUUGAGAACUCAUCAAUGUGAAGUCCUGAGACAAUUUUGGGGGAAGAGAGAGGGAAAAAAAAACAGUAACUGAAUAAGCUAUACCAUUGACAUGAAAUUGCUAAUAGAAGUUAAUAAGCAUGCUUCAACAGUAACUAACAAGGCUAAGACUAAGGACCUCACAUACAUGGCCAGAAGUAGACAAAUUCUUGACAGCAUAAACUUAAAAAGCUUAAACAAAAGUAGGUUCAACCAGCCUUGAUGUUCUAUUUUCAAUUGAAACCAUAAUUCAACAUGCAACAACACUCUAGGCAACAAUCACAAAUCUUUAGACACUGUAUUUAUGUUGAAGAAGAAAGAAUUAGCACGACUCAUGAUAUAAAAGAACGAGGUUCAAAGAGAAGAUCACUCUUAGUUGCUAAACAAAAGUGAACUGUUGGAAUUGGAAACAGGUUGCCAGGCAGUAGAUCAGAAGGGUUCCAAAUAUAGGACUAGAAAACAUAGUUAGGGGGUAUAAUACUGAUGUUAAAUCAUGGAUGCAGAAUACAGUAGGUAUCAAAGGGCAGAAAAUGAGCACCUGGUACCUAAAGUUGUAUCUUAUAAUGCAAAGCAAAUCAUAUCAAAGUUCUCUUAAAUCAAAACCAUGUUUCUAUCCUAAACAUUUUCCAUUCAUGGAAUGUCAACAAUAAUUGUAAGCCAAACAUCCCAAGAAUGAAGAAGAAGAAGAAGAAAAAUGAUGUAAAGCAAAUCAUAUAUUUGGCCAUCCAGGAAUUAUUUGGAAUAAAAAACAAUAAAAAAAUAAAAAAAUAAAAAAAGCAUGGAAUCUUCGCAAUUAUUUGCAAAGUUCAUGGUUUCCAUAUGGAAAUCACUGAUCACUUUUUUAAAUAAAAGGAAAAUGAAUAGAUUAAGGUUAUGUUUGGUUCCCGGAAAGUACCAAGGAAAGAAAAAAAAUGCGAAGAAAAAUGAUUUUCUCAUGUUUGAUUUCACUAUAAAAAUUUUUAAAGAAAAUUAAAUAUAAUUAAAAUUAGUUAGAAAUUUAUACAUUUUAAAAUUAUUUAAUCUUUAUAUAAUGAAGGAAAUUAAGUGAAAUGAGUUUGAAAAAACAUAUAAAAAUAAUUUAUUAAUUUUGAAUUUAUUUUUUAUUUUCUUUCAUUUUGUAUUUCCUUCCACUUUUCCUCUCUUUUUUCUUUCUCUCACAUUUUCCCCAAAAUUUCUGGGAACCAAACAUAGCAUAAAUGUUCUCAGAAAAUGGUGAAGAUUCCAAAGAGCACAAGCAUUUUGUCAUAGUGCAUAAUUGUUACCUUGUACAAUCUUCCAUUCACCAGCACAGCAGGUUACAGGGAAGGAAUAGAUAAGCCCUGCUGGAACAUUGUAUGAACCAUCAGAGUACACACCCAUGGACACCCAAGUUCCCUAAAGUCGCAAGGAGAAAAUCAAAUGCAUCAGAUACACCACACACAAUCUAUUACUGGAAGCAUACAGAUGUAAAAGCACUAACAAGAAACAACCUCUGGAGUUCCAAGCACCCAAUCACGGAUAUGGUCACAUGCAGCACUUGCAGCAGAUAAAGCACUCGAGAGCUUUCGUGCUUUGAUAAUUGCAGCACCACGUUGUUGGACAGUGGUGAUAAAUUCCCCAUUCAACCUUCAUGAAUGAAAAUGUAAAAAUGAUUAGAUAAAUUUAAAUAAAACAAAAAAAUACUAAUUAAAAGUAAACAUGACUUAUGCCCCAUACCAUGCAUCAUCACCCACAAGCCCCCGCACAGGUUUCUCACCAGCUGGGGUUUUGACAGUAGCAUGGUUGACAUCGGGAUACUGAGUUGAAGAGUGAUUUCCCCAUAUGAUAACAUUCUUAACAUCGGAUACUUGAACAUUCAGCCUUUCAGAGACCUGACCUAGUGCCCUGUUAUGGUCUAGUCUUGUCAAACAACUAAUGUUUUUCUCAGGAAUUGAUGGUGCAAAUUCCUUCAGGAUCAAGGCAUUUGUAUUUGCUGGGUUAGCAACAACCAAAACCUGAAAUAAAUGAAUGAAUGAAUAAUAAAUAAAAUUGAUUGGAAAAACACAGAAGAAAAGAAAGAAGCAUUGGCCAAGGAGUGUGGGUCACUUCCAAGUAAAAGUAUUCCCUGGUAACUAUUAAGGUGGUUCAAUCUUCACUCAAGUGCAUGAUUUUAUCAAGAAAGAAAAUUCGAAACAUGAUAUAAUCUUCAGCACCUUGCAAUUUGCAGCUGCAUGAUUUUCAAGUGCAGAGGCCUGAGACUUGUAGAUGGAAACAUUUUUGGACAUCACAUCUUUCCUUUCCAUUCCUUCUUUCCUUGGGAAGCCACCAACCAUGACAGCAAUAUUGACUCCAGUGCAUGCCUCAACAACAUCAGUUGUAGCAACAACACCUGAAAAAAAAUUAGAACUCAGUAUUGUUGUCAUCAUUUUGACUGAUAUGUAAUCACAGCAUUUCAUGGAAGAAAAGAAAAUUACCUUUAAGAAGUGGAAAAGCAGCAUCCACCAAUUCCAUUUUGACCCCAUUUAAGGCCUCUGCAGCAGGAGGGAUAUCAAGCAUGUGCAGAAUCACAGGCUGAUCAGCACCCAACAUCACUCCCCUAGCAAUCAUGGGGACAAGUGCAUAUCCAAUUUGUCCUACAAAUCAAAAUCAUUUUACCACAACAAAAUCAGUUAAAAGAAAUUGAACAGGAAAAGAGGAACAUCAAAAUGGACUAUAUCGAAUCUAGGUCUAAUUUCGGUUGGUACAUGAAUUUAGCACAUCAAAAUAUGAUGAACUGAUCUUUUUUAACAAUUGCAUGAUUAAUAAAUGCUUAAACCAACUAAAAUCAAAUCCAACUACGGCAUUUUAAAGGCAUAGUCUCUAUACAAGUUGAGCACAAUGAAAAGUGCAAGCAGUUGAAUAAAAACGAUCUUUGAGUAUACAUGCAAUUUACUGUACAUUACGUAUUAAAUUAAAAGCAGAUGAUUUACAUAGUAAAAGCAGCACAUACAACGCCAACUAUCUUUCUACUCCACAAAAAACAAUUAAUUUACAGAAUGAAAGCAGCUUUCAAGAAGCAUAGUCAUACUACACUAAAGCGUAGUCAUACUACACUAACUCUGGUAGAGUUUACCUCUCAUCACUGAUAACAAGAGAUGAAAAGAGAACUUAAAAUUUUGGAUCCAACGCUUAAGUUUUUUAUUAUCUAUUUUCGUUGUCAAAACCAAAACAACAUUAACAUAAUAUUCUGAAAUCAUAUUCUGUUUCCCAAACUUUUCCCAAGCUUCCUUUGGAUCAUAGGUUGGAAGGAAAGAUGCUGAAAAUGGAUUUUCCCUAAAUCUAUUUUCAGCAUUUUCGUUUCCUUUCAGUCAUUUUAUCCGAGAGCCAAACGCAACCUUAUCCAGAGACUCAAAAACAGUCAAAAGAACCAUAAAGAGUAGUUCAUGAUCCACUAAGAAACUUGCUAAAAACACUAAUCCACCCACAAUAGACAGAAGUAUUCAGAUCGCCAGAUCAGAAAACACAACACUCAGCAGAAACAACCGAUUCGAUCACAAACACCACCACAACAUCAAGCACCGAUGCAAUUAUAGAGCAAAAACCACGAUUGAUCCCUAAUUUUUUCAGAUCAAAAACCGAUUCAACAAAAUUAUUACGCAAAUCACAAGAUCUAUAGUAGCCCUCAGCUUUUACCCUCAAAAAAGCAACCAACACAAAGAAAUGGGAAACAAAAAAGAAAAAACAAAAUAAAACAAAACAGAACAACUCUUGCUUUCUGAGCAACCAAACAGCGGAAUCAUGGAGAAGAGAACCGUAGAUCUUGUGGUACCUGCGGCUCCAGUAACGAGAACGCGAACUGGUUCUUUGGCCAUUGUAGGAAUCGCAGGGGAGCACGGGAGAGGAAAACGACGCCUACAAAUCUAAUCUGCCUGUACACUAACCACUGUGUGUGUGCUCAAUUUUAUAGUAGAAUUUACUGCGUGCCGCUGCUUUUCGUCAAACCAGAGGUUUGGCCACGUGGCACAUCCUCAGCCAUCAUAUUUAGAAAAUUAUCAAAGAGGAUGGGCAUUUUAAGAUGUCAAUUUUAUCCUUUAACCUUUUUACGGUUACUCCUUUGCUUCCUAUGUUGAAAAAAAAAUUGGAAAAGUAGGUAAUGAAAUAUAUAUAUAAAAAUCAAGAAAAAUAGGUUAAAAGAUAAUAAUUAAAAACUCAAUAUUUUUUAUAUUAUUAUAAGAAAUUAAAUAAUUUGCUCAUUUUAUUAUAAGAAAUUAAAUUUUUUGAAAUAUACUUUUCUCAAAAAAAAAUUAAAACUUGAGAUUUUUGUAGACAAUUAGUAAAAAAGGAAAUUUAAUUUUUAUUUUCUUUAGAAUGAAAACCAAACCCUAAGAUUUCUAUGCACAAAUUUUACAUAUCCUAAUAGAAUGAAAAAUUACUUCCUCCAAGGACUAAUAAAUUAAUUAGCACAUCAAAAAAUUAAAAAUUAAUAAAAUUAGGUUAUAUUGUAGUAUAUUGUAAUAUUAAUGUAUUUGUAUUAUAAGUGUUUAUGCAUUAACGAUUUUUGUGAUAAAAUUAAUAAUUUAAAAAAUAUCUAUUUAUACUCUAUUGGUAUUAAUACAUUAUACUAAUAUAUUAACAUCAUUAACUCGGUCCAUUGAAAUUAUUUAAUCAUUUAAAAAAAAUUACAAGUCUGAUGAAUUUUAAAUUAUUGGUUUCAUAAAAGUUCAAAAUUUUCUCAAUUGAGUUUUGUUGUAAUAUAUAUAUAUAUAUAUAUAUAUAUAAAUAUUAUAACAGAAGUAACAAUAUUAGAGAUAUUUUAAACAUCAUUUUUAACGAUAUUUGGUUUCAUAAAAGAAACCAAAUACAUUAAUUUGAAUUCACGAGACUUGUCAUUUUUUUUUUAAAUAAAAAUGAUUAAACAAUUUCAAUGUAUUGAGUUAAUGAUAUUAAUUCAUUGAUAUGAUGUAUUAAAAUAAUAGGGUAUAAAUAGGUAUUUUUAAAAUAACUGAUUUUAUUAUAAAAGAUAUAUUGGACAUAAAUGUGUUAUAUUUAUAAUAUAAAUAGACUAACAUUAUAAUACAUUACAAUAUAAUCUUCUUCUUCUUUUUUAAUCUUUUUAUGUGAUAUACUACUAAGCUAAUAAUCGUACAUUAUUCAAUUGAUUAAUAUUCAUGAAAUUAACUAGUCAUUAUAUUAGGAUAACAAAGUUUUUACUUGGUCGUAAGCAAUUGUUAAAAUUUAUCAUUCGAUGCACAAAUAGCAUAGUAAGCUUAGAGUUUGGUUUUUAUUUUAAAGAAAUUGAAAAUUAAAUUUCUUUUUUUUUUUUUCUAGGUUCUCUACAAAAAUCUCAAAUUUUUAAUUUUUUAAUUUUUAGAAAAGUAUAUUUCAAAUAAUUAAUUUCUUAUAAUAAAAUAAGAAAAAAAAUGAGAUAAUUUUUUAUAAUUUUUCCUUUGACCUUUUUUCUUGAUUUUAUAUUUUUUUUCUUAUUUAUUUAUUUUCUAUUUUUUUCAUUUUUCCAAAAAAAAAAAAAAUUCAACCUCAUAUAAGCUAAGGAGAAAUGAAAAUUUUGUGAAAUAAAGGAUAAAGUUGUAAUUUCAUUACUUUUACAAAUUUUUUUUAAUCCUAUGCAAGCAAAGGAGUAAUGGUAAAAAGAUUGAACAAAGGGUAAAAUUGACAUCUUAAAAUUUGGGUCCUUCUUAAUUUUCUUUUUUCUAAAUAUCCUUUUAUAUCUUGCUAUUUUUGCCACCUAUUCGAAGAAAAUCAAUAGCUUUUGACAAUAAAUAUAAAUUUCUACGUUUUUAUUUCAAAAAUAAUAUCUAAUAAAAGUUCUUAAAUAUGAAAAAAAAAGUGUUUUUUUUUUACUUAUUCUUUACUAAGACAUCACAUACUUACCUACAAUAUAAAUUUUUAAAAAAUAUUUUCUAGAUUUUUCAUCAAAAAAACUAAAAAUGCUUAAAAUCUUUUUUAAAAAAUAAUUUAUUUUCAAAACAAAUAAAAAAAAAAACUGUCCAUUUUGUUGAGAUUUUUUCCUUCUUUUUUUCUUUCUCUCAGUUCAAAGUAAUCAAUUUUUAAUAAAAGUUUUAAUUAUUCUAAGCUUAAAAAUUUAACAUUAGAAAAUAAUGUAAAAAUAAUUAAUUCUCUACCAUUCUUAAUAUACCAUGUUUGGUUGAUGAAACAUAGCAUUAUCUAUCCCAUGUUUAACCAAACCCUGGAUAAAAUAGGUGGUAUGAUAUAUCAUCCACUUUCAUUUUUAUAUCCUUUCCAUGGAUAUGUAAAUCUUAAGUUAAAAUAUAGGAGAUAGGAUAUGUAUAUACCACGGAUCAUAAAUUUAUUUAUUAUUAUUUUGUUUAAUAUUACUUAUUUUGUAAAAUAUAAAAUUUAUUUAAAAAAUAAAUUUACAAUUAAAAAAUAUUAAUAUAUGUAUUUUUAAUAUAUAUAUAUAUAUAUAUAUAUAUAAUUCAUUUUACAAACUAAUUAUAAGUAUAACAUAAUAUACGUCAUUGAAUAAACUGCCUUAUGAUGUAAUGUCCAUUUGAUAUAAUAUUUUUAAAUUAAGAAAUAAUUAAUCUAAUACUAACUUGAUCUGAUAUAUAAUUCAAAGUAUUUAAUUCAAAUCCAAUUCAAUCUCAUUUCUCUAAACUUGAGUUUAGUUCAGGUUGAUCAUAUUAUAUAAUUCAAAAUCCAUCCAUUAUGUUUUUUAAAUUUUUUUUUACAUAUAUAAUAAAACAAACUUUCAAGAUAACCACAAAAAUAUAAAAUAAAUCUAUAUAUUUUUCUAAAAAAAUAAAAAAGUAUAUGAUAUAAUAUAAUUUGAUAUUAUUUUUCUUUAAAAAUCUAAAAGAAAAAUUAGUAUUAUUAUAUACGAUAAUAUACAUAAUAAUCAUAACAUUAAAUCAAAUUAAGUUCAGGGCGGGUUGGACCACCCUGUCGUGUCCAAAAGUUUGCAUCCAUAGUUGGAGCCCAUACACUCAAGGAGGAAAAUAUCGGGAUAUAUCGGCGAUAUAUUGUGUAUCGGGAGGGGUCGACACGAUAUUUCGUGAAGAAAAAUCAAAGGGGAGAUAUUUCUGUAAAUAUCGCCAAAAUAUCGGCGAUAUAUCGGUUCGGAGAGAUAUAUCGGAGAUUUUUUGAAAAAAUCGCCUCUGGUGGUAAAAUAUCGGUAAUAUAUCGGCGAUAUAUCGGAGAUAUAUCGCUGAUUUUUUGGGUGAUAUUUCCCCUCCUUCAUGCAACGUGAUCUGACUGCCCAGAUCACGCCCGUGUUGAUCCGAACGGCCUAGAUGUGAUUCCAAUGGUAAUAUGGCGAUCCAACGGCCAGAUUGCUCCCAAUUUUUUUAUCCAACGGCCAAAAUUGAUUUUCAACAGUAAAUUAAUGUUCCAACGGCUAUUUUGGCCCAAAUUUAUUCUAUAAAUAGCCCAAAUUUCAUCUAAUUUUGCUUUCAUUCUUUAUUUUCUCUCUCAUUACUCCAAUCUUUAUUAAGGUUGCUCAAUUAUUUAAUCAUUUUAAGGUAUAUUUGUUUUAAAUUGUAAUUAAUUUUGUUUGCAAUUGUAAUUAAUUCAUGUAUUUUCAAUUAAUUAGUAUGUUUGCAAUAUAGAUUAUUUAAUGCUAUUUUUACAUUCAAUUGCAAUUAAUUUUUAUAUUUUUAUUGAAUUAACUUAGGUUAAUUUGAUUAUUUAAUUAUAAAUUGAUAUGUUUAUUUUAGAUGAUUAUUUGUGAUUUAUUUUCACAUUUAGAAUUAAAUUAAACUAGUUAACUUAGCUAAAUUAUUUAAUUAACAUGCUAAAUUAUUUAAUUAAUUUAAUUAACAUGAACUAGUAUAUUUUGAAUAUGAAAUAUGUUUAUUUAAUGAAUUUAAUGUGUACAAAUUAUUGAUAUUUAAUGAAAUGAAAUAUUUUAUGUGACUUUAUAAUGAGAACAAUUACAAAAUUAACAUUUCUUAUAGAUCGACAUGAUAUAAUUACAUCUAAUAUUGCAAAUUAUAUCAUAUAUAUAUAUAUAUAUAUAUAUAUCAAAUUUUUCAAUAAAACAACUUUAAAAUGUUCAUUAUACUUCUAAUUAUAUUAUUAUGAGAUUUUCCUUACAUUUCCAUGAGUUUUUAGCAAUUUUAAGUCUAUCGAUAUUUGUUUCCAGAAUAUACACCGAUAUAUCCGAUAUAUCCGUAAAAUCGAAAUACCGAUAUAUCCGUAAUUACCGAUAUUUUCAUCCUUGCAUACACGUUGUUGUUGAAAAUAAUUUUAAUAAAAAGUUUUAUUUUUUGAAAUUUUCUAAUCAACAUAAUAACAAUCUUACAUUUAUAAUAAAUUACUCAUAUUUAUAAUAUAAGUUUAAUGUAUAAUUAAAUUACAAUUUGCAAAUAAAAUAUGAAACUAAAGAAAUAACAAUUCCAAAUGCUUCUCAGGUUCAAAAAAUUCUUCUAAUUUAACUUUAAAUCAUAUUAAUAUUUUCAACAACCUUCAUUAAGCUAAAUUUUAAAAUCAACUAUACUAAGCAUCAAUCACUUUCAACUCUUCUAACAAAAUGGCUUUGUAAAGAUAUUUACAACUUGAUCUCACAUUGAUGCAUAUAACCAUUAUAUCACUAAUAAAAUUUGACUUGAUGUCAAGUGUAAGCUAAAAAUGACAUAUUUGAAAGUAUGAUGUUGUAGUUUUGUAAGUGUCAAUCCACACGUACAAGAGCAUAAUUUUUUGCUUUAGUUCAUACAAUGCCUUAUAAAGUCAAACUUGCUUCUCUUACCCUUAAUAUUUCAUAAUAUGUUGACUCUGGUAAGCUAUAGUAUCCACUAGUCAACGUGUGUAUGUAGACAUGCAUGCCCCGAUUGAUUCUAUGACCAUUCAAAGUAAGGGAUGAUGUAAGAUCAUAAGCACUUCAUAUUCAUGAUCCAUCCCUUCCGAUAAAACUAUUUUAUUAUUCAUGAAGAAGACUAAACAAAUUAUGCUAUCACUUUUUAUUUCAUUGUAUACAGACGUAUAAUCGUACAUUUUUAUAAACUAAACAUUAAUGUAAAAUUAAUCUAAAAUCCAACUGAAUUGGAAUUUAACUUAAGUCGUGUGAGUGUUUAUUUAGGUUGAUAAUUUUGGAUAAAAAUUCUUAAACAUCUCCUAACUCGGGUUUUCUAAAUCAUUCCUUAGACUACUUGCCUAAUAAAGAUCAAGAUGUUGAAAAUGCUUAAAGGUCAAAAUAAGUAGUUGAAGAUGUAGGUGAAUGUGAAUCAACAAGUAUUCAAAUUGCUAUUUUUUUUCUUAACCUACUUAAAAAAAUAAUAAUAAUAAGGAAGUCAAGGCAAUGAUUUUUUUUUUUUUCCUUUUUUACUAAAAUAUUUUUGUGCCUUAUUCUCAUAUUGAUUUGGAUUUAAGUAAGAUCGAUCAAUCUUUUGUUGGAUCUAUUUUUAAACAUUGGGUCAACGGUUUCCUUUCAUAUUUAACUCAAAUGUUUCCAAUUUAAGAGAGGAAACACCAACAAUCGUUCUAACUCCCCUUGAGCUCUCUCUUUCUUCAAUCAAAUUGGAAGUAUUUGGUUUCCAAAAAAAUCCUCCUUACCUAUAUUUUCAAAUCAUUUUUCAAUUUGAUUUUCUUAAAAAGGGGUUGAUUCAUAUCAUUUAUUCAUCUCUCAUUUUUUUUAUUUGUUUGACAUAGGAUGAAAAUUCAGUUUCUUCUUAUGUGGAUUCAAGAAGGGGCCAAGAUUAAGCUUAAUGUAGACUCUAAAUGUGCUCCGAAAGAACAUGUGAAGUUUAAUUUGGGAAAUACUAAUUAAGUAGUCCAAUAAUGAUAAAUAGACUUAAGUUAGAUAAAACCUUGUACCUGAUUAUGCUUCAUAAUAAAAGCUUUUGAUCGUUAAUAGAUCCCUGGUUUUUGGUCUCUUAGGUGACUUUCCAUGUUAAAAUUUGGUGUUAUUGUAUCUCUCUCAUUCUUCUAUUUUGUUUAUUCCUAUUUAUUAACCUCAAUUUCAUACUUCGACAUAUUUGGUAGAUGGGUGAAAAAUGAACUAAAACGAGUUUGAUUAUUCUUUGAAAAUCUUGAAUAAUUUUCUAUUCAAUUUUAUUAUGAUAUCAAAUAGUAAUUAAAAAUAUGCUAAGAAGUUAAUUGUUCUUGUGAAUUUAGCUUGGGCAAUCCAUGUACAUAUGAAUUACAUUUAUAAAUUAUUGAGAGAGUAUUAUUGUAUUGAUACUUGUAUGUGAUUUUUAGUUUUUAUUUUUUAAAUGAUUAGAAGAGAAGGGUAUAAACUAUGAAAAAUCUAAAGAAUAGAUAAUAUGUAUUUCCGGACCUCUUGAAUUUGUUUAAAAAACACCUAUUUACUCCCCUUCUCGGUGUAGUACAUCAUUAAGAUUCAUCCUCAAAUUAUAAGUGGGUUACAUCAAUUUAUAAUGCAACAAAAAUUAAAAACCUAGUAUAAUUAUUGUUGUUAUUGAUGUAUUAAGAUUAAUAUGGUGAAUUCGGACAAUCAAAUUUAAAUAAAGCUGACAAUAAUUUUCAAUGGUGUUGACAUCAUUAUAUUGAAAAGUAAAAAUUAUUUUAAAGCAACAAAAAAUAAAUAGAUAAAAAUGAGUAAACUAUAUGCAAGAAACCUGUUGAAGUUGCCAAGAUUGAGAUUGAAAGAAUUAUUUUAAGGCAAAACAUAUGAACUGUCGAAAACAUUUAGCAGAGUGUUUUUAUUCCAUGUAGAUGCAUUUAGAAAUAGGGUCAUGUGAGGAAAAAUUAUAUGAAAAUUAAUUUUUUGAAGUAAUCUGCAACUUUAAGAAAACCUGUAAAUAGAAGUUUGCUUCUUUGGUUGGAGAGGACCACAUUGUGCUUUUUCUCUGGUAUACACUAUUUUUUCCCGGUAUCUGCAAAUAAAUUGUUACAGCAUAACGUGUAUAAUCAUUUUUUAUUUUUUACUUUUGAUGAAUAAAUAAUAUGUAUAAUCAAAUGAAACCUCAGAACUAAAACAAUUAACAUUUAUCAAUGGCACUCAGCACAUUACAAACAGAUUAACAGGUCUGCAAUAAGUAGAGAUCAUCAGAAUCACCAUGCAUAAAUGAGAAAGAUGCAAAAACAUGGGAGAAAUUGCUUCUCCCCGAUCAUAAUUUUUUGUGGAAUUUAAGGUUUUUCUUCCUUAUUCAAAACUGCAGAAAUGCCUCUUCAAUCCUAAUCAGAUUUAUUACGAAGCUUAAAAUUACCAAGGCAAUAGAGAAAAGGUAGAAGGCACAUUCAAGAAAGGCACGAGUAUGCCAGCUCCUUUUCCUCACUAAGCUCCUGUGCAGUCAAGUCCAACUUCUUCCUCGAGAACUCAUCAAUAUGAAGUCCUGAGCCAAUUUGAGGGCAGAGAAAGAGAAAAAAAGAUAAGGAGAACAGAAUAAGCUAAUCCAUUGAUACGAAAUUGCUGAUAGAAGCUAAUACACAUGCUUCAUCUGUAGCUAACAAGGCUUAAGGACCUCACAUACGUGACCAGAAGUAGACAAGUUCUUGAGAACAUAAACUUGAAAAGCUUAAACAAAAGUAGAGGUUCAACCAGCUCUGACGUUUAAUUUCAAUUGAAACCAUAAUUCAACAUGCAACAACACUCCAGGUAACAAUUAUGAAUCUUUAGACACUGUAUUUAUAUUGAAGAAAAAAGAAUUAGCAUGACUCAUGAUAUAAAAUAUGGUCUCUGAAGAUGCUUCAAUCAGUAAAACAAAAGAACAAGUUUCAAAGAGAAGAUCACUCUGUUGUUGCUAAACAAAAGAAAACCCGUUUGAAUAGAAAAUAGGUCGCCAGCCAGCGGAUCGGAAGGGCUCCAAAUAAAGGACUAGACUACAUAGAUAGGUAUAAUAGCAGAUGUUAAAUUCUGGAUGCAGAAUACAGUUGGUAUCGAAGGGCAGAAAAUAAGCACGUAGUACCUAAAGUUGUGUUUUAUGUUUCAUAGGUCCAAUUCAAAUGAACAAGGAAGAAGAGAUUUAGUCAAAACAUUGGCACUACAUCCCACUUCCAUCUAUCAAUGACACAAUCAAAGAAGUCACCCGAAUCAAGAAAACAAAAAAGAAUGGCAUAAAGCAAAUCACAUAAAAGUUCUGUAAAUCAAAUCCAUGUUCCUAUCCUAAACAUUCUCCAUUCAUCAAAUAUCAACAAUACUUGUAAGCCAAACAUCCCAAGAAUGAAGAAGAAGAAGAAAAAUGAUGUCAAGCGAAUCAUAUAUUUGGCCAUCCAGGAAUUAUUUGGAAUAAAAAAAAGAAGAAAGAAAAAACAAAAAGCAUAGGAAUCUUCGCAAUUAUUUGCAAAGUUCAUGGUUUCCAUACAGAAAUCACUGAUCACUUUUUUAAAUAGAAGGAAAAUGAAUAGAUUAAAUAUUCUCAGAAAACAGUGAAGAUUCCAAAGAGCCAGAGCAUUUUGUCAUAGUGCAUGAUUGUUACCUUGUACAAUCUUCCAUUCUCCAGCACAGCAAGUUACAGGGAAGGAAUAGAUAAGACCCGCUGGAACAUUGUAUGAACCAUCAGAGUAUACGCCCAUGGACACCCAAGUUCCCUGAAGUUGCAAGGAGAAAAUCAAAUGCAUCAGAUACACCACACACAAUCUAUUACUGGAAGUAUACAGAUGUAAAAGCACUAACAGAAAACAACCUCUGGAGUUCCAAGCACCCAAUCACGGAUAUGGUCACAUGCAGCACUUGCAGCAGAUAAAGCACUCGAGAGCUUUCGUGCUUUGAUAAUUGCAGCACCACGUUGUUGGACAGUGGUGAUAAAUUCCCCAUUCAACCUUCAUGAAUAAAAAUGUAAAAAUGAUUAGAUAAAUUUAAAUAAAACAAAAAAAAAUACUAAUUAAAAGUAAACAUGACUUAUGCCCCAUACCAUGCAUCAUCACCCACAAGCCCCCGCACAGGUUUCUCACCAGCUGGGGUUUUGACAGUAGCAUGGUUGACAUCCGGAUACUGAGUUGAAGAGUGAUUUCCCCAUAUGAUAACAUUCUUAACAUCAGAUACUUGAACAUUCAGCCUUUCAGAGACCUGACCUAGUGCCCUGUUAUGGUCCAGUCUUGUCAAACAACUAAUGUUUUUCUCAGGAAUUGAUGGUGCAAAUUCCUUCAGGAUCAAGGCAUUUGUAUUUGCUGGGUUAGCAACAACCAAAACCUGAAAUAAAUGAAUGAAUGAAUAAUAAAUAAAAUUGAUUGGAAAAACACAAAAGAAAAGAAAGAAGCAUUGGCCAAGUAAUGCAGGUUAAUUCUAUGUAAAAGUAUUCCCCGGUAACCAUUAAGGUGGUUCAAUGUUCAAUCAAGUGGAUGAUUUUAUCAAGGAAUUGAAACAAAAUAUACAAUCGUGAGCACCUUGCAAUUUGCAGCUGCAUGAUUUUCAAGUGCAGAGGCCUGGGACUUGUAGAUGGAAACAUUUUUGGACAUCACAUCCUUUCUUUCCAUUCCUUCUUUUCUUGGGAAGCCGCCAACCAUGACAGCAAUAUUGACUCCAGUGCAUGCCUCAACAACAUCAGUUGUAGCAACAACACCUGUAAAAAAAUUAGAACUCACUAUUGUUGUCAUCAUUUUGACUGAUAUGUAAUGACCAGCAUUUUAUGGAAGAAAAGAAAAACUACCUUUGAGAAGUGGAAAAGCAGCAUCCACCAAUUCCAUUUUGACCCCAUUUAAGGCUUCUGCAGCAGGAGGGAUAUCAAGCAUGUGCAGAAUCACAGGCUGAUCAGCACCCAACAUCACUCCCCUAGCAAUCAUGGGGACAAGUGCAUAGCCAAUUUGUCCUACAAAUCAAAAUCAGUUUACCACAACAAAAUCAGCCCAAGCAAAUUGAAAGGGAAAAGAGGAACAUAAAAAUGGACUAUAUUGAAUCUGGGUCUAAUUUUGGUUAUUGUACAUUAGUUUAGCACAUCAAAAUACGAAAAACCAAACUUUGUCAACAAUUGCAUGAUUAAUAAACUCUUAAACCAACUAAUUUGAAUCCAAUUAUUGAUAUUAUAAUGGCAUAGUCUCUAUACAAGUUGAGCAACACCAAAAAAUGCAAGCAGCUGGAUAAAAAUGAUCUUUGUAAUGAACAAUAUACAUUGAAUUUUCUGUACAAUAUAUGUUAAAUUAAAAGCAGAUGAUUUACACAAUAAAAGCAGGAUAUGCAACACCAACUAUCUUUCUACUCCACAAAAAAACAUUUAAUUUACAGAAGAAAUGGAGAUGGAUAAAAAUGAAAGCAGCUUUCAAGAAGCAUAGUCAUACUAUACUAACUCUGGUAGAGAUUACCUCUUGUCACUGAUUACAAAGAUGAAAAGAAAAAACUUAAAAUCUUGGAUCUUAGUGCUUUCAUCAUUUGGAACCCCAUGAAACAAACUUCAGCUCGACCAUCACUAACUAGAACCGUAUGGCUUAGUUAAGCUGAAGUCUUUUUAUUUUCCUUUUUCGUUGUCAAAACCAAAACAACAUUAACAUAAUAUUCUAGAAUCAUAUUCCGUUUUCCAAACUUUUCAUAAGCUUCCGUUGGAUCAUAGGUAGGAAGGAAAGAUGCUGAAAAUUGAUUAAAAAUGGAUUUUCCUUAAAUCUAUUUUCAGCAUUUCCGAGAUCCGAACUCAACCUUAACCAGAGACUCAACAACAGGCAAAAGAACUACAAAAAACUCAGUCCGUAGAACCAUGAGUACUUCAUGAUCCACCACAAAACUCGCUAAAAACACUAAUCUACCCAUAAUAGACAGAAGUAUUAUUCAGAUCGCCAGAUCAAAAAACACAACACGCAGCAGCAACAACCGAUUCAAUCACAAACACUACCACAACAUCAAGCACCGAAGCAAAAACUACAACAAACACCACGGUUGAUCCCUAAUUUCUUCAAAUCAACAACCGAUUCAAGAACAUAAUUAUGCAAAUCACAAGAUCUACAGUAGCCCCCAGUUUCUACGCUCAAAAAAGCAACCAACACAAAGAAAUAGGAAACAAAAAAGAAAGAAAAAAAAACAAAACAAAACAAAUCUUCGCUUUCCGAGCAACCAAACAGUGAAACCAUGAAGAAGAGAGCCAUAGAUCUCGUAAUACCUGCGGCUCCAGUAACGAGAACGCGAACUGGUUCUUUGGCCAUUGUAAGAAUCGUAGGAAGAGGAAGGGAGACGAAAACGACGCCUGCAAAUCUAAUCUGUUGCUACACUUACCACUGUUGUGUGCUCCCUUUAUACUAGGAUUCACAAUGUUCUCGUGCCGCUGCUUUUCGUCAACCAAGUUUUUGGCCACGUGUCAGCUCCUCAUACGUUAUAGUUAAUUAGUUAUUCAAAUAACCCUAGCUCAUAAGAGAAUAUUCUAAAUAUGCUUUUGUGCCUCGCUAUUUUUUCCACCUGUUUGAAGAAAAAUAAUAAAUUUUGGAAAUAAAUAUAAAUUUUUAAGUGCUUCUGAGUCCAGCAAAAUAUUCUGAGUGUUUGGCAAGAUUUCAACAAUAAUUUUUAAAAAUAUCAUUUUUAAGCACAAUCUUAGUUGAGUUUGAUAAAUUAAUUUAAUGAUUUAAUAAUUAUUAAUUUGAUUAAGUAUGUGCUAUAAAAUGACUUAAUAUUAAGAUUUAAGUUUAUUUUAAAUUUUAAGUAUUAAGUUAAAAUAAUUAACUCAUUCUUAAUAUCAAUUUUUUUAAUCUUAUUUGCCCACACUAGUAAAAAUAUAUUUUAGAAUUGUGAUUCUAUAUUCAUGAGUAAUUUUAUAAAUAAAUUUAUUACUCACAAUUAAUAAAAAUAAAUAUGAAUUAAAAUCUUUUUUACUUUCAUAAUCUCUUUUAUUACCUUAUGACCUUUAUUGUUACUUGAUCUAUUUUACCCUAAUUACAAUUUCUGAUGAUACAUAUGUUAAUUUAAUUAUUUUGAAUAAAUAAUAAUUUUUAAAUCAAUAAUUUAAGUAUAAUUUAACUUAAAAUCAAUUUAAAGCAUUAAGCAAUAAACAUUAAGUUUUAUCAAAUAACUUUUAAAUUAAUAACUUAACAAUAAUUUAACUUAAAGUCAACUUAAUUAAUUAAAUAAUAAAUAUUAAAAUUUAUCAAAUGCUUAUUUUAGUUUGUUGAACUUAUUUUUUAUUUAGAGAUUACAUAAAUAUGUACAAUAUAAAAUUUUUAAAAAUAUUAUUCAAAAUAUAUUUUAUAAAAAAUAAUUAAAAUUAUUUAAAAUUUAAAAAUAAUUCUUAAGCAUGAUUCUUAAAAAUAAUUCUCAAUUAUUUUUAAGAAUAAAAUUUUAUUUAUGAACUUAUUUUUCACGAGAGAUUACAUAUGUAAAAUACAAAAGUUUUUAAAAUAUUAUCCAUGUUUUAUGAUAUUUUAUAAAAAAUUAAUUAUAAAUAUUUAAAAUUUAUUAAUUUAUUAUUACACACAUAUAUAUAUAUAUAAUAAUUAAUUUAUAUACAAUAUGUCAUUUCAAAAUAAGUCAACGAAUAGCCUUUAAAGUACAUAAAAGUUUGUAAUAUUUUAUGUAGCUAAUGCAAGCAUGCGUGAAGUUGGGGCUUUUUUAACUUUUGCGGCAAUUUUAAAAAAUUAUAAUUAAAAAAUGGUAGUUUUGAAAAUAUUGAUAGAUUUACGGCAGUUUUGGCCACGUGGAAAGUGUCUUUUGAAGAGACACCUUCCACAAUUUUCAAAAUCAUGAAAGAAUUGAAUUUAAGCUAAAGAUGUCUCUUGAAGAAACACCUUCUACAAUUUCAGAAAAUUUGAUUUAUAUUAAAGGUGUCUCUUGAAAAAACACUUUCCACGUGGCAAAAAAUCCAAUAUGUAUUAAAGGUGUCUCUUGCAAAGACACUUUCCACGUGGCAAAAAAUCCAAUAUUCAUUAAAGGUGUCUCUUGAAAAGACACUUUCCUCAAAAAUUUGAAUGUCUUAUAAAUUUGAUUUUAAAGCUAAAGAUGUCUCUUGAAGAGACACCUUCUACAAUUCCUAAAAAUUUUAAUUUAUACCAAAGGUGUCUCUUUAAGAGACACCUUCUAGAAUUCCAAAAAAUUAGAUUUAUACUAAAUGUGUCUCUUGGAAAGACACUUUACACAAUUCCACAAAAUCCAAUAUGUAUUUUAUUUGUGGAAAUGAUUUUAAAGCUAAAGAUGUCUCUCUUUAAUGUAUGAAAAUUGUGGAAAGUGUCUCUUCAAGAGACACUUUCAGUAUAAACCAAUUUUUUUAAAAUAAUAGAAGGUGUCUCUUGAAGAGACACCUUCAAUAUAAUUCCAUUUUUUGGGAAUUGUGAAAUGUGUCUCUUGAUACCUUCCACAAUUUUAAAAAUAUUGGGUUUAUACUGAAAGUGCUUGUUCAAAAGACACUUUCCACAAUUUCCAUUCAAACAGUGGAAAAUUUUGAAUUUAUGCUGAAGGUGUCUCUUCAAGAGACACCUUUCAUAAUUUUUAAAAAAUUGGUUUAUACUGAAAGUGUCUCCUUGAAUUUAAAUUUGAAUUUCAAUUUCAAUUAUUGUAAGUACUAAUCUAAUCAGGUUAUUAUUUUUUUAUUUUGUUGCAACCCUCGUUUGAUUCCCAAGUUUGUGCAAUCCCUGUUUGAUUCCCAAGAAAAUCCAUCCCCCAUUUGCUUUCCGGGAAAAUCCAUGGAAAACCCCCUAAAAAAACAAAUUUUCAAUUUCAAUUAUUGUAGGUACUAAUCUAAUCAGGUUAUUAUUUUUUUAUUUUGUUGCAACCCCCGUUUGAUUCCCAAGUCUGUGCAAUCCCCGUUUGAUUCCCAAGAAAAUCCAUCCCCCAUUUGCUUUCCGGGAAAGUCCAUGCAAAACCCCCUAAAAAAACAAACAAAAAAAUGUUUUUAUUUUUGCUCCGUGCUUUCUGGAUCUGUCCAGGGGUCUCUUUGCUUUUGUGCCAUUGGAUUUAAAUUUCACAAACCCUAAAUCCACGAUUUUUGAGCCACGCUGAAAAACACUACCUUUCCCCUCAAAUCAUGAUCACCUUUCUCCUCAAAUCAUGAUCAGAUUACCAAAUAGCUUAUGUUUUUUAAUAAAUAAAAAAAUUGGACAGAUACCCUGUGCGCAGGCUGGACUGGUAGGAAAUAUUGGGAAAUUUUUUUUUUCAACUUUCCCACACUUUCUUAUCAACCAAACAGAAUCAUAACAAGCCAAACCACAAAAAAAAUUAAAACUUUCUCCAUUAUUUUUAGUCUACUCAGUUUCAUUGUAAAAAAAAACAAAAACUUUAUUUUUUUUACAACUUUCCCACACUUUCUCGGUGACCAAACACAACCACACCACCAAAUAUAACCACAAAACUUACAGAAAACACCGGGGGCAAUGGUUUUUCAGAUCUGCACUUCACUUCCUUCCUAUUGGUGUUGAAGCAAGGAUCUCCACCUCAUGAUCAGCGUGCGGGAUAGUGGGUUUUCGGGCAGAGGAGUUUUGAUGCAGAGAAGAAAAACGAGAAGGGAAGAGAAGAAAAACGGGAAGGGAAAUGGAAAGGGGGGAAUGGGUUUUCAUAUCUAUCCUACGUGUUAUCCUACGUGUUCAAAAGUGCCGUAGAAUUGGAAUUAUUUUCCAAACUAUGGUAUUUUAAAUAUUAUUUUUUUUAAUUGCAGUACAUUUAUCAAGAAUCCCGUGAAGUUGGGUGUAGGCAAGACCGCAACACUAUGAUGGAAAUAAAAUGAAAAGCUUGACUUUGGAUUUAAUCCAAAGUAGUUUUGCUAGGAGCUCAUACACUUUUGGUUGUUCGACCAUCUCCUUUAAAAUCGACGAUGCUAAACCUCAUUUUCAACUCUUCACAUACCUACUCACCUCAAACUUGCUAUUUAUACAUAUGAUCGAUAGGAUUUUUUUCAUAAGCUAACUACUAAUUUCCGAUCUAUAAACAAAUGUCAGACAUAGUAAAAAUUGCAGACUUCUUAUUACUCAAAAUAUUUAGAAUUUACCAAUUCUCUAAUACUCUUUUUUUUCAUUUUUAAUCCAUCUAUAAAAAGAGUGUGAAUCAUAUUUAUUAAUUUUGAGGAAAAAAAUGAUGUUAUUUAUUUAUUACAUUUCAAUGCCAAAAAAUUAAAGUUAAUCUUACAUUUAUCAUAUCAAAUUAUUGUAUCAAUACUUUUUUGAAUAUCUAUAAAUACAUGUGAAAAUCCUCCAUUUUGUCCCUAACAAAUAUUUUCUCAUUUUCAUUUUCUCUCGCCUGCUUUUUUUAGCCUACGUUUAGGAUAUUUUUGCUUGAUGAUUCAUCGUUCCUUAUUGGUCCACCAGUUUGUUAUUGAUUUUUGAACCAUAUCUUGGAGGCCAUUUAGGAGGUAAUUUCGGGUUUGAUUUUAGGUUUAUUAUUUUUUGUUUUAUUUUCAGCAUUUGGUGAAACUCUAUGAUUUUAGUAUUUUUUUAGGGAGGCCUAGCAGCCGGCUUAGAUAAGGACACGUGUUCUCAUCUUGCAGUUCUUCUCAGCAUUUUGGAACAAGCCUUCUAGAGGUUCCUAGGGGCCAUCUAUGAGGUUUCUAGUGGAGGCUUUUCUUUGGAGCAUGUUUCUUUUUUCUUUUCUUUUGGGGUGACCUGUUAAGAGAGAGAGGGGACCAACUAUUUGUAGGCAGAGGAUAUUCUCUGGAAAGGUGGUUAAAGAAGAGAAGAGGUUAGAGAGAGAGAAGGGUUAGAGGAUAAGAGAAUGAGGCUCACUAGUUUUAUUGAGUUUGGGGAAAGCAAUAAAGCACGAGGAGCCCAACAGAUUUCAGCAAGAGGGUCUUCAGGUACAUUUGUUGUGGGUUUCUUGCUCGUUUUCAUUAUCACUCUAUUCUUCAUCAUCUUUUGUUGUUUCUAAUCACUGUUUGAUCGUUUGUGUAUGGAUGUGAUAUUGCUUUGCUCUUUUUUCUUCUUCUUUUUUGUGGGGGCUUCCCUCCACGUGGCAUUCCCAGACUCAAGACCCUUUGGCUGACUAGGGCAAACAUAUAACCCUUCUGGGAUCACUCCAUUUGGACCAAGAUAAGCUCCGUCUGGCACCAGAAGUGAGAAGUUUUUCUUCUUCCAUAAUACCAGACGGAAUAGACAGACUAAGUCGGCUGACUUUUCAGACAGACUCACAAUGUCAAACGAAAUGGAUAGACCAAACCGGUUAAACCUUUCAGAUGGACAAAUCAAUUCAGUCAAGUCUUCAGGAUUUCUAACAUGCAUAGUUAACCAUGCUUAAUGUCUGAACACCGGCCUAACCACCUGAUGUCUGAGCGUCGACCUAACCACCUGAUGUGCCUAACCACCUGAUGUUUAAGCGUUGAAUUAAACGUUAUUUACACCCAAAAGUCAAUGUCAAUUAAUUAUUACACACAAUCCCAGACAUUGGCAAGCUAAAUGGAAAAUCGGCUACACAGUCCGAGAUUUUGGCACAACAGUCAACAAAUGGCACCAGUCAGCAACCCUUACUUGAUGUGAUUGCCCAGUCCACGUAGUAAUGACGAUGUUGAUAGUCUAUGCAAUCAUCAUUACAAGAAAUGUUAGAGUGCAUAAUCAACGCUGACGGUGCCAUCAACUCUAUAUAAACCCCUCAAGAAGCACGAACAAGAUACACACACUCAUUAUCUUCCACAAAGUAAUAGUUAGAGUUAUCCUCAGUGAUUUCUGACUUUAGCUUCGGAGGGAUGUGCUCGGACCACCUAUUCGGACAUUCUUCUGUGUAGGAAAGAAGUCUGUUUGACUCCAGUGAAGCUGGACAUAUCUGAAUCCAGUUGGCUUGACGCCAACAGUUUUCAUUUAAACAAAAAUCUGGAUAUGGUUCACUAUUGCAAUGAGAGUUUAUUGUUGAAUUUGUUUCAAUAUUUGCUUUGAAUCUUUCAGUUGCACCAUUGGUCUUUGAGCCCAUUGAUUUCAACAUGAAAUCGGAUUUCAUUUAAUGUUUUACUUAUUUAUUUAUUUCGCUCUAGGUAUGCUCUAUCUUAAGUUAUGCAUUUCUCUGUAUUUGGUAUCUUAAUCGGUGUCCCUGUUUCUGGCUCACAGCUUUGGGUUUGCUUUAGACAUCUGGUCUUGUGUUCUAAUCUACGCUUGAAAAGAGAUGAUUGUGUAUUAGGUUUACUAACACAAAUUCAUAAGCCUCAGUGUAGAACUAUUUGUAUUCUACACGGAGGUUGCUGCAUAUUUAUAGUUUUAUUCUAAACUUGAUGAUGCAAACCAGCCAGUGGGUCAGCAAGAUGUGGGAUGCAAGCAUUGGUUCUAAGCAGUAUGCUCUGAGGACCAUAAGGCACCUAUAUAUUCUGCAUGUCCACAACACAAGGAACCAGUUGGAGUUAGCCCGCAUCAUCAAGGAAAGAAACACUGAGCUAUAGGAACACACUAGAAAAUUUAGAAAAUAGGUUACUGCAAUAGCUAAGUAGGACAAUUAGAUUUUGUAGAAUUGUGAUGUUUUUCUAAGACUUGAGGUUGAAGUGGCAAAAGCGGUUGAGACCCAAGCUCAAUUGGAGAGACAACUAGAGUUAAUUGAGACCCAUCAACGAGAGGUUGACAAGGCCUUGCUAAGUAUAGAAGAAGAAAUUGAGUGUAUUUAUAAGGAUGAGCAUGGAUUGCUUGAUGAUGAGGCUACAUCCACAAGAGAUGCAAUGUAUGAGUAGGCUGAAUUUAUAGAAAGGACUUUUAUGGAUGAGGUUAAUGAGCGUGGGUUAUCUUGGGAGAUCAGUCUUUGUGAUUUAAGACUUAUAGAUAAGUUGUAAUAUGCUAAUUGUGCCAUCUGUUCUUUCAUAAUUUCGAGGUCGAGUAAUUGUCGGACUCGGCUAGGAGUUUAGGAGAUUGGAAAACAUACCGAAAGAGGACUUUGGUAGGGUUCUGUUGGUUUAUGUGUUUGAUUUAGAUCACAAUUCACUGUUGUUGCUUGAUCGGUAUCACUAGUCUGUUGUUUUUAAGGAUAUGGUUAUUGUUGUUAGAACAAGGAAUACAUAGGUUGUGAGUGAUUGUAGUUAUAAUGGGCGCCAUAUGUUUACUCAAACACGAAAGCUUGAGAAAUUGCUGGUUGGUUCAAUCCUACAGAUUAUGUGGGUAGUGUCAUCGACCCAUUUAUCAUGGAGUCCAAGGCAUAAUAGCACUUAAAAUUAUUAUACAUGGAAUGUUGGACAAACUCAUUUUGGGCCAUUCUCGGAGACCUCAUCAUUGUCCUUUGUGUAGAAAAAUGAAGCCCGGAGAAACAUUCUUCUGACAUCACCGAAUUACAACCUUACAAGUGUUAUUGACGUCCUAGAAUCUAUAGUUGCUCAUGGCGAAUAAAGGAAUUUUCUUAAACAUAAUUGACAUGUUGAGUUUGUACAAAAGUGGAACUCAUAUAUUCAAGCAAGUUAGACAAAGUAGUUUCUACAUUGUCUCAUUUGGAUUUUGAAAUGGCUUUGUAUUUCUUGAGGUCUUCAGGUCAUGAUCUAUAUGCAAUUUGUUAGAUUAAGAGUAUGGAAACAAAGGAUUAGCAUAAAAGACAUAAAUAAAUAACAUAAUGAAUAAUAAGAAAAACUUAUUGGCUGAGGCGUGACAAACACUGUCCUUGAAAUAGAUACACCAUCCUCAAAUACGAACUCAGUGCAUUAGGGUACUAGUGGUCUACCUCUAGGAUUCAACAGCCAAAUCUCGCAUUGGGUGCACUCUAUAAGCGAGACGUGUACAACUCGAUUCUGAAAAAAUUCCUCCAAAAAGAUGUAUGAAGUACUCUCUGAAAAACUCUUUGAAAAAUUGGUAUUCAUAUUUUGAGAGUGAAAGGUGACUUGCUUUUAUAGACUACUUACACAAUCCCAAAGGGACUCUACUUGUAAUCAGAAUAUGACUCAAAGAAGAACAUGAUUCUACUUAUGAGUGGAAUGUGACUCCACCAACACAAUCUCAAUAGGACUCUUCCCAAAAAUAUAAGACUAAUAAAAUAAAAAUAAAAAUUGUUUUGAAUUUUUGUAAAAAUUAGCAAAAAUCUUUAAAACAUUUUUUUAGAUUUACACUCUUCCUACAAUCCCCCAUAGAGUAUAGAUGUGAAAAGAAAGAAAAGAAAAAAAAUGGAGGAAAAAAGAAUCCAAUGCAUCAGUACUAGUGCCCAAAGGCUAUGAACCAAUCUUAAGACACAUAAGUAUUGAAUCACAAAACACAGUGAAAAUAAAUUUCUAUGAACUAGUGUUUCUUUAUGUAACUUAAGGGACUUUUAUCCACAUUGGUUUUCUCAACUUCACUACGAGCUGUACAAAACAAGUUGGCACAAAUAGGUCAUACGCCCUACCUGGAUAUUCAUGAGAGCUCUAGAAAAUUUGCCUAGGUUCUUAUAGGAAACGACCCAUCUCCACUCUCAUAUAGGUGAAUCUAUCAAGUAUGUUCUGCAUUUAAACAUAUCAUCCAUAAGGAAUAUGAUAUUCAUUAAGAGUAAACACUCAACCUUAGUCAAUGCAGAACACAUUCUAUCUACACCAUAGAGAUAGACUCUCAUACAAUUAGAGUUGAUAGAGCACCUCAAGUCAACAAAUGAUUUGUUAUUAGCCAUAUGAAUCUACUUCAUGGAAUUUCCAUUCUAAUAGGUUGGGUUACCACCACUCUUGAAUUCUGUAAUAGGCAUAAGCUUCAUCCCCCUCGAUGUUUCUUCCACUAGUUCCUUAUUUAGUGGUUUGGUCAAAUGAUCGAUCAAAUUCAACUAUGACCUCACAAAUUCUAGGGAUAUAACCCCUGUUUCAAGUAGUUGCCGCACAAUAUUGUGCCUUAGGCGUAUAUGUCUGUUCUUCCCAUUAAAUAUUUUACUCUUAGCCUUAGCAAUUGCAGCUUGGCUAUCACAACGCAUAGACACAGACGGGGUUGGUCUCGUCCAUAAAGGGAUAUCUGCUAAGAGGUUUCUAAGCCACUCAGCCUCAAAACUUUUCUUUUCUAAGAUAAUAAACUCAACCUCCAUAAUAGACCAAGUAAUGCAAGUUUGUUUGGCAAACUUCCAAGAAACUAUACUUCUACCAAGGAUGAAAACAUAUCCACUAGUGGAUUUCAUCUCAUCUGAAUCCGAGAUCCAAUUUGCAUCACUAAAUCCUUCAAGGACACUUGGAAAUCCACUAUAGCACAAAUCAUAGUUAAUGGUGCCUCUCAAAUACUUAAGGACUCUACGAACAGUAGUCCAAUGGUCUUGAUUAGGACUUUGGGUGUACCGACUCAAUCUACCUACUACAUAAGCAAUGUCAAGUCUGGUACAGUUCAUUAAGUACAUUAGGCUCCCUAUGAUUUGAGCAUACUCUAUUUGAUCAACUCUAUGUUCUCUAUUUUUCUUCAGUUGUGAGUUCGGAUCAUAAAGAGUUGACACUGGUUUACAAUCAAAAUGUUCAAACUUUCUUAAGAUCUUUUCAACAUAGUGCUCUUGAGACAGUUUAAACCCAUUAGGUGUUUUAGUUAUUUUAAUUCCUAGAAUCACUUCUGUCUCUCCUAGGUCUUUCAUAUCAAACUUAGAACCUAGGAAUUUCUUGGUCUCACAUAUUACCUCUAGGCUAGUUCCAAAGAUCAACAUGUCAUCAACAUAAAGACAGAUGACUACACAUAUGUUAUCCUCAUAUUUGUUGUAGAUACACUUAUCAGUAUUAUUAAUGGAAUAUCCAUUAAUUGCUAACACGUGAUCAAACUUGUUGUGCCGCUAUUUGGGAGCUUGUUUUAACCCAUAUAUUGAUUUAACCAACUUACACACAUUUUUCUCCUUCCUUGGAACUACACAACCCUCAGAUUGUUCCAUAUAAAUUUCCUCAUCCAAAUCCCCAUUCAAGAAUGCAGUCUUGACAUUUUAGUGUAUCAUCAAAUUAUGAAUGGAAGCUAAAACGAUCAAUACUCUAAUUGAUGUUAUUCUAGUCACAGGGGCAAAGGUGUCAAAGUAAUCUACAUCCUUCUUUUGUUUAAAGCUUUUGGCAAUUAAACGAGAUUUAUACUUCUCUAUGGACCCAUCUUGCUUUAACUUUCUUUUAAAGAUCCACAUACAACCAAUAGUCUUUGCACCAAGAGGUAAAUCUACAAACUCCUAUGUAUGGUUAUACAUUAUUGAUUCGAUUUCACUAUUAAUGGUCUCCUUCUAGAGUGGUGCAUCAGGAAAAGUUAUAGUUUUUUUGUAGAAUCUAGGGUCAUCAUCUAUUAGGAAGGUAUAGAAACCAUCUCCAAGGUUUGUUUAUUUCCUUUCUCUUUUACUCAUUCUAGGUUCAAAUUCAGAAAGUCUAAUAGACUUGUCUCUACUUGUUUUCUGAACUUGUUGUUCACUAUUUAGUUUCAUAGGAAAAUAUUUUCAAAAAAAUCUGCAUUCUUUGUUUCUAUUAUAGUAUUGACAUCUACAAGACUGUUUUCUGACUUAGUAACAAGAAACUUAUAUGCCGCACUAUUCUCAACAUAGCCAAUAAACAUUGCAUCAAAGGUUUUAAGACCUAGUUUUCGUUUUUUAGGUUAAGGGAAAAAAACUUUGGCUAAACACCCUCACACUUUCAGGGAUGCUAUAUUAGGUACAUAACCUUUCCACAACUCAUAAGGAGUUUUACUAGUUUUCUUGUAAGGUAUUCUAUUUUGAAUAUGACAUGUGAAUAGGAUAGUUUCCCCCCACAAGUUCAAGGGUGCUCCUGAACUUACCAACAUUGCAUUUAUCAUUUUUUUUAAGGUCUCAUUUUUCCUUUUUGCUACUCCAUUAGACUCAGGGGAAUAAGGAGGAGUAGUUUCGUGAAUGAUCCCAUGAUCUUCCCAUGAUCAUCCCCUAUCAAUUCUAAGCCUUUUAAUUUUCUUAUUUAGUUGAUUUUCCACUUCAUUUUUGUACUUGAUGAAAGCAUCUUUUGUUUCAUCUUUUUUUCUCAAAAGAUAUACCCUUGUAUACCUUGAAUAGUCAUCUAUGAAAGUUAUGAAAAUCCAUUACCACCUCUAGUCAUUGUGUUUUUUAGGUCUCCUAAGUCACUAUGUAUUAAACUUAGUAGAUCUGAUUUCUUUCAAUUGAUUUGUAAGAUUUCUUUGUGGUUUUAGAUUCUACACAAGAUUCACAUUUUCCAUGGUUUUCUAAGGGUGGUUUAGGGAUUAAACUCAAUUCAACCAUUUUCUUCAUAUAUAAAAAGUUCACAUGUCCUAGUCUACCAUGUCAAAUAUCACUAGAAUCAACUAUAUAAGCAGAAGAAGAAGAUGCAUUAUUAUUGAUAAUAUCAUAAACAUUCAAAAUAAAUAAAACCUUAUUACAAUAACCAUUUCCCACAAGUGCAUCAUUCUUGGUUAAAACUAUUUCAUCAGAGUCAAACAAGAUCCUCACUCCUACUUUUCCCAGCAGAGAUACUGACACCAAGUUUCAAUGGAUAUCUGGCACAUGAGGAACAUCACUGAGGGCAAGCACUUUUCCAGAGGUUAGCUUGAGGAGAACUUUCCAUUUGCCAAUCACUAGAGUAGAUCUAGAAUCACCCAUGAACACUUGUUCAUCUCCUUCCUUUAGAGUAGUAUAGGAAGUAAAUGCAUUUUUGUUUCCACAUAUGUGCCUAGUAACCCCAGAGUCUACCACCUAGUCCUUCAUAUUGGUGACCAUGAUCACCUCAAAGGAGAUUACUACUAUGAUCACCUCUGCCUCUACUAGAUUUGCCUUUGAAUUGGACUUCUCAAUUCUCUUCCUAUGGCGACAUUGAGCUGCAUGGUUUCCAAACUUGCCACAGACAAAGCAAUUACCCUGUUUUUUAAUAGUUGGGUUCUGAACCUUAUUUGAUGCAUUGGGUUUGGUCCUAGAGUUUUGUUUUCUAGACCUAUUGUUUUUGGGUUUAGGUUUUUCUUCUACUACACUAGCCUUAGAAGACAAUUCAUUAGCUUUCUCAACAUUGUCCCUAUUUUGGUUUUGUUCCUCAAUCCUAAUUUGGAUUAUGACAUCCUCUACGGACAUUUGUUUCCUUUUAUGUUUCAUGUUAUUUUUGUAGUCUUGCCAAAACUCUGGAAGAGUCUCUACUAAAUAACCAACCACAAAAGGUUUGGGUAAUUUAAUAUCUUCAAUGGCUAAGUCAUUAAUCAACAAGUGGUAGUCAUGGAUUUGAGAUGAUACAUAUCCAUCCUCGGUCAUUUGGAAAUUUCUAAAAUUCUCUAUGGCAUAUUUCUGAGUUCCUGCAUCUUUCAAAAUAUUUUUUUUAUUCAUUACAUCUCAAAUUUCUUUUACAACUUUAAAUUGACAAUAAAUAUCAAAAAGUUCAUUAGAAAUGGUACUCAUAAUAGCAUGCCUAACUUGUUUAUUUCCAGUUUCUCAGGUUGGUAACAAAUGAGAACUAUUUUCUGGUUUUGGGUUUGUCAAAAUGUGUCCCAAAUUCACUACAUCAAUUGCAGAGAAAACUCUUUCCUGCCAUCUCUUAAAGAAUGUCCUGUUGAAAAGGUCAAUUUUAGAGGUGUCAGGAUGGGUGUGAACUAGGGAAGCUUUUAUUUGGAUAUAUUUCAAGAUUGUUGGAUUAAGGGUAUGGAAACAAAGGACUAGCCCAAAAGACACAAACAAAUAACAGAAUGAAUAGUAAGAAAAAUUUAUCGGUUGAAACGUGAAAAACAUUGUCCUUGAAAUAGAUCCACCCUUCUCAAAGACGAACUCGGUGCACUAAGGUACCAGUGGUCUACCUCUAGGAUUCAACAACCAGAUCUCACAUUGGGUGAACUCUGUAAUUGAGACGUGUACAACUCGAUUCAAAAAAAAUUCCUCUAAAAAUAUGUAUGAAGAACUCUCUAAAAAACUCUUUGAAAAAUUGGUAUUCAUAUUUUGAGAGUGAAAAGUAACCUACUUUUAUAGACUACUAACACAGUUCCAACGGGACUCUACUUGUAAUCAGAAUAGGACUCAAAGAGGAACGAGAUUCUACUUAUAAGUGGAACGAGACUCCACUAGCACAAUCCCAAUAGGACUCUUCCCAAAAAUUAAGACUAAUAAAAUAAAAUAAAAAUUAUUUUGAAUUUUUGUAAAAAUUAGCCAAAAUUGUUAAAACAUUUUUUCAUAUUUACACUUUUCCUACACAAUUCACUCCCUAUUGCAUGGCCACUUUGGGUGUGCCACCAUAUGCACGUGAUCCAUUCUAUUCUAUUUUCCUCUUUGUGGUGCGUUUCUCUUGUGUUUGUGUGAAUUUACAUGUUUUAAGUUAGGUUUUCAAAAUCUACUUUCCAUUCAAAUAAUCCCAACUUUAAAAAUUCAUCCUUAGUCUUUAGGUAAUGAAAUCCUGAUUUUAAUAAAUACUUGUUGCCAAUAUUUCCUUGGGACAUGCACUUUUUUAUUUUCUUUUAUUUUUUUAAUAUACCAAUUUUCUAGAAAUCCUUCCUCAAUGAUCAUUAAGAAAAUGGAAUUGUGUAGAAUGAAUUGAUGCAAAUAAAUUAGACAUUAAUGGGCCCCAACUUAUGUGAUAUUCUCUUACAGUUAAUUAUUCAUUCUAAAUAUCUUGUACUUGUUGAAUGCUAAUUGUCUUUGCCUUGCUAUUCGGAUAUAUGAAUGUUUUUUUUAAUACUUAUUAUCAUAUACUAAUCUUGUUUUUAUAAAGCUAGCACUUUGCUUGUUGUUCAGAUACACCUUUGUCUUAUCUUACUCGUUUGACUAUUUUCCGAUGUAUAUUUCGGCCAUAGUAUAUCAUGAUCAUUGUUUGGUAUCAAUUGAUUAGCUAACCAAUUGUCAUGUUUAAUUGUUUCACCCUGAUUGGUAGAGAUCUAUUUUAAGGCUUAAAGGGGUGUCGAGCUUAUUACCGUACCUCUCUGAUAGAUAACUUGACCCUUGAACUAAGAUUCGAUUUUUCAUAUACCUAUUUUUUCAUUUCAAGAGUCACACUUAAAGUUUUCUUUUCUAUUUUAUUUUUCCUUAAAAAAUAAAAUAAAAAUAGGUGACCAUUCCAAAACCAAAUUUUAAAAAAAUCAAAUUUUCAAAUAAAAAAAGAGUCCAACCAUUCCUUUUGAGUGGAGAUGCUAUGGUGGGUCCACACUUUGAUAAUUCCAUAUAAAAUUAAAUUAUUUACAUUGAGGCAUAUAACAAUUAUAACAUUAUUAGAUUUUGACAUGAUCUAAAAGGUGUUAAAAAUAACAUAUUUGAAAGCUAUGAUGUUGUACAUAACCAUGGAAGAAAAUAUCGCGAAAUAUCGUGUAUCGAAGGUUUCAUUAAAUUAUUUUUCAUAGAGAAAUAUCGGUCCGGCGAUAUUUCGGGAUUUAUCGCGAGAAAUCACCGAUUUCUCGCGAUAUAUAGGUGAUUUGGCGAUAAAUCGCCGAUUUUUCGGCGAUAUAACGCGGGUCAACGAAAGUCAGACCCGCUACAGUGCCCGUCAACGCACUACAGUGAUGCUACAGUGCCUCACCUUUAUUUGUUGCUGAGAGGAUUUGAACCCCAAACCUUUUACCCGCUUACCACCUGAGCUAAGUUGCCCUUUGAUAUAUAAUAUGCAACAACUAUAUAUAUACUUAAAUUCAUUAUAUAAAGAAAAUAUAAGAAUAUUUUUAAGAGCAAAUUAAUUAUAAUUAUUUUAUAAUUAAAUGCAAAGUCUUUUAAUUAAUUACUAAAAAUAUAAAAAUUAUAUAAUUUUCUUCAUAAUGUUUUUAAUAUCAUUAAUAAUUAAUUAAAUAUUAAAAAAUUAUAUAUAUAUAUAUCAUUAUUUAUUUUAUAUUAUUUAAUACAAUUGAAUUAAAUGGAUCAUAUUUUAAUACUAAUAUAUAUUUUAAAAUUAGACAUAUUAUAAUCAAAUAUCAUAAUAUUAUGUGUAAUUUAAUAAUAAAUGUAUACUUAUAAAAUUCAUAUUUUUAUCGAUGCAUACGACAUUAUUAUCAAAUAUGAUAAAUCAUGUUAUACAUAUAUCAAAAUUUUCAAUAAAAUAACUUUAAAAUGUCUAUUAUAUUUCUAAUUAUAUUAUUAUGAGGUUUUCCUUACAUUUUCAUGAGUUUUUAACAAUUUUAAGCUUACCGAUAUUUUUUCCCAAAAUAUCCACCAAUAUAUCUCCGAUAUAUCCGAUAUAUCCGUAAAAUCGAAAUACCGAUAUAUCCGUGAUUACCGAUAUUUUCUUCCAUGUACAUAACAUGUACCAAGGGCAUAGUGUUUGUUUUGGUCCACACAAGUUAUAAAGUCUAUAAACCUGAUUUCCUUCCCUUAAUUUCCUUAAUAGAUCAUAAUAUGUUGAAUUCAUGUUUUGAAAUAUCGAUAAACACGAUAUAUCGUUACUUGAAAUUUACAAAUAUAUCGAAAAUAUUUAGAAAAUAUCGGUAAGGCAAAAAUUAUUCAAAAUUCAUGGAAAUAUUUAGAAAAACUCUUAAAAAAUGAUAAAAUAAAUAAAAAUACAUAUGUUAAAGUUAUUUUCUAAGUAUAAUUAGCAUAGGUAUCAUCAAAAAGAAAAUAUUGGUAAGCAAAGAUAUAUCGGUCUUAAUAAUUUAUUAUUUAUUUAUUCAAAUUAAUUUUAAUUUAUAAAAUAUUAGAAUUUCAUUAUUAUUUUUUAUAUUUUAGUAUUUUUUUUAAUAAAUUUAUAUUUUUAAUAUUUUAGAAUAAAAACAUUCAAAAUUAAAUAAAAUUAAAAUGAUAAAUAUAAAAAAUUUAAAAGUGAAGUGAUAGUAAUUUUUUAAAAUAGGAUUCGUAAGAUAAAUGAUGAUACAUUUAAUAUUAAAAUUAUAAUUUAUUUAAUUCAAAUGCAUUCAAUAAUAUAAAAUAAAUGAUGAUGCAUAUAUGAUUUUUAAUAUUUAUAUUUUUAUAUUUAAUUAUCAUAUAAAUUAUAUUAAAAAAUACUUGUUAAGAAAAUUAUAAUGAUGGUUUUUAUACAUUAAUUAGUUAAUUAAUUAAAAUUUAAAGUAAAAUAAUUAUUUUUUUUAAUAAUGAACUUUAACAUAUUUAUUAUUAAUAUAUAUUAACAAGUGAAAACUUGGUUGAUGGUAACUAGCCUUAAACCUAAGCCUUUUGGUCUGGGUCGAAUCCUCCUCCUUCCUUCAAUCAACGAAAAUUUCCUAAACCACAAAAGAAUAUGAUCAUUUAGCUUAUCGAAUUGAAGUUUUAUUUCUUUUUUUUUAUUUUGUGAAAUAAAUCAUCAUAAGGAGUUAGAUCUACAAUUUAAUUUUCGUUUCUCUUCCCAAGUUUUCGAAGCAUCCAAAUGAGGUUCUUUAUUGGUUUUUUUCCUCUUUAAUAAUUCCUUAAAACACUUGUGAAGAUUAUUUUUUGGAGGAGUUUCUGAUCAAAUAUUCCACUUCUCCAAUAACAAGAGCCUCCUUUAUAUUCAUUUCCAAUUUUGUUUUUUCUUUUUGGUUGCUUUGUUUGAUUCUGUAAUUUUAAUUUAUGGUUUUAAUUCAGUUUCGAUAAACUGGAAAAGUCAAUACUUUUGGGGCUUUGGCUGUAAUUUGGGGAUUUAGGAAAUUUCCACCAAACGAUCGAAGGAAGGAGGAAGGAUGGGUUGGGAUUUUAAAAUAAAAUGACGGCUUUUCCCUCACUUAAACAUGUCAUGUAUUCAAAACAUAUGCCUUCCCUUCAUUACAUCUAUUGUCACUCAACAAAUGUAUAUUACAUGUAUUUAUAAAGUAUACAUUAAAUGUAAGGGGGAAAUGUGAAAAAUACGAUAUAGGUUGUAGAGGUAAAAUGUAAUAAACCCUAAAAAGUUUUAUUUUUAAAUAUAAAAUAUAAAAAUGCAACAUAUUUUUAGUUUUAUGUCAUUAUUCCCACUUAAAUCAACUAUAGUUACCUGUUUAAUCCUGAAUCGAUUUUACAACAACCUUGAAUUUUUUUUAAAAUAUGUAUAUAAACCAUAAGAAAAUAUGCAAAGUUCUAUACCAGGAUAGAUGUAACAUAAUAGUCAACUUAAUUCAAAUAACCUAAUUCACUAACUCUUAGAAUUAGAUAUUUCUACAAUCACUCUUCCAAGUACUCACUUUUCUUGGUUCUGACACCAUCCCCUAUAGUGUCUGUUUGAGCAUGUACACAACAAGGCAACCUGAAGUUUUAAUUUCCCUUGUGAUUAGAGCCUCGUUUGCUACUACAUACUAAUUAAAAGCGUUUAUGCUUAUAAUGUUAAGGGCUUGAAAUAGAUCAUCAAAUAUGUUUUUUUAUUUCAAGAACAUCAAUCCAUUUAAUCCAAUACUGCAAGUGUUCUCUAUUUGUGAUAUCCCACAUCAGAUAAAAAGAAAGUUUAUGACACUAUACAAAUAUGAACUUCUUUUAACCAUGUAAACACAUUUUAAAGCCGUAAGGAUCAUUUGGACAAAAAACGGACAAUAUCUACACAAUUGGGUAGAAGUCAUUAUAAAUGGUAUCAAAGCUGAUUUUUGACUCCAGUGAAAAGGAUUGUUUAGCCCUGUAAGGAGUGUUUAUCUGCU
Molecule: long non-coding RNA, 51433 nt
Filed under: Vitis vinifera (wine grape)
Lineage: Eukaryota; Viridiplantae; Streptophyta; Magnoliopsida; Vitales; Vitaceae
Description: long non-coding RNA (VVIN_LNC002100)
Source: RNAcentral